RNAcentral lists this long non-coding RNA (61920 nucleotides) under Durio zibethinus. Its description in RNAcentral is "long non-coding RNA (DZIB_LNC001306)". The record is from RNAcentral. Lineage: Eukaryota; Viridiplantae; Streptophyta; Magnoliopsida; Malvales; Malvaceae.
UUUUAUUAUAAUACCACUAGCCUAUAGUACUUAUUGAAACCAUUGGCUUUUUUCCUUUUGCUUUGGCAAUACCGUCUCUGGUUUUUUCCCAACGCUUUCCUCUAUAUAAGAAACUCUUACCCACCCACCAUUUUCUUCUACAAAGCAAAAUACAGCCAGAAAAUCAGUCUUUGAAUUCCGAAAGCAGCCCAUCGGCACUUUCAUUUCAAUCACCUCCCAAAAGCGUAGAAAAAAGAAAAACAUGAGUUCUUCAACAAGAGCUUGGAUAGCAGCUGCUAGCAUUGGAGCUGUUGAGGCACUAAAAGAUCAAGGAAUUUGUAGAUGGAAUUAUGGUCUAAGGUCAAUUCAACAGCAUGUCAAGAACAAUAUCAGAUCAUCUUCUCAAGCUAAGAAAGUUUAUGUUCCAUCUUCUUCUGCUUUGGCUAAGAAACUGAGAGAUGAUGAGAAGUUGAAGAAGUCAGAGGAAGCACUUAGAACUGUCAUGUAUUUGAGCUGUUGGGGUCCAAAUUAAGCUGCCACCUUGUUUUUUGUACAUAUGUAAUGCUAAUUUUGCAUCAAUUAUAUUACUUGAACUAUCAAAAAUAUGUUCAAAAGUUUAGUUUGAUAUUAGAAAAUUUUGGGGCUAAAUUUUAUAUACUGAACUCUUUGUCUGUGAUGAUCAUGAAUUAGAGUCUUACACUAUAUUUGGUGAGGAAAAAAAAAGAAGAAAAGGAAAAUACUAUAAUAAAAAAAUAGCUAUUCUUAUCAGAAACAUUCUAAAUUAAAUUGAAUAAAUUGAGGUGAAAAUCACAUGGAAGCUUUCUUUAGUCUUUAACCUCAGCCUCCAAAAUCAAAUGCUAUGAACAAAGUAAAGGCAAAUCACAAGUUUGUUGGCUUUACAAAAUAAUAAAUGGUUUUUAAGUCCAAAAUAAAGGGCCUCUAACUUUUCCAAAACUAUUGGCAGACACCAACCAGCCAAUGGUUUUAUACGCUUUCAUGUUAUAUAUUAAAAAAUAUGUAUAUUUAGUCACAAACCCUAUUAUAAAUGGGACCAGUCCCAUAUCAUCAGCACCAUUAUUAAUUCGUAAAAGAAAAAGGAAAAGAAAAGGAAAAGAAAAAGAAAAGAAAAUCUCUCUCUUUGUUUGCCACAAUCCUACUUUCAAAGAUAAAAAUAUUUUCUUGAUCAAGAUUUACAAGAAAACAAUAAGUGCAACAAGGAAAGCAUGGAUUGUGGCAGCUACAAUUUAUGGAGUGGAGGUAUUGAAGGAUCAAGGAAUUUGCAGAUGGAAUUAUGUCCUCAGGCAUGCCAAGAAAAACCUUAGGUCAUUUACCGAGGCCAAGGUUCAUUCCUUUCCAUAUCUGCCGGCCCUGGCGGCGGCUUCCGCUAAGAUGAGGGAGGAGGUGAAGAAACCCGACAAGUCCAUCAAAAAAGUGAUGGAAUUGAAUUCCUGGGUCCUAGUACAGUUAGAUUUUAAUGUAAUUUUUGUUAGAAAAAUGGGUUCAGUUUCGUGUAAGUGAUUUUGGAUUAAGUAAAGGUAAUAGGUCUUAAUCUUUUAUUUUACACAGAAUUUUAGAUACUUAAUAAAAAAGAGGUGGUGUUGUUUUAAGUGGGUGUCAAAAACUAAGUAAAAAAAAGAAAAAAAGCUAAAAAAAGUGAAGAGAAAAAAAAAGAAAAGAGAGUUGAUUGAACGGAAGUUGAUCCGUGGUUCGAUUGAAUUAAAAUCUUGUCAGGAGGUUUAUGAUUCAGAGUUUUACAUUCUGAACGGUGAAGAUCGGGUUUGAAGCUCUCUACAAAUAAAUCUAGAGUAUAUUUGUUGAGUCAUUUAUUUAGUGAGAUUUCUCCAAUUAUUUCUUUAGUUGUUGUUUAGCUCUAGUUUUAGCUAGAAAAGAGCUUUGUAUACCUAUUAUUUGAUAGUGAAGAUUUUUCUGGUGGUCCGUGAUUUUUUUCCUCUACACUAGAGGGUUUUUUACGUAAAUCUUGGUGUGCUUUAUUUUUCUGCAUUUUUUAUUAUUGAUUAUUAUCUAUUACUUCUGUAUUAUUGUGAUUAUUGCUUCAGGCACAACAAGUGAUAUCAAAAUGAAGGUUAUUUUGAGACAUCGAUACAAAAACAGUCCAAGAUAUAAGUAAAUUUUGUUUGAGAUCAUGAAGGGUGAUACAUGUUCCAUGAUAAAAUUGACAGCAUCGAAUUAUUUAAUUUGGAAGCUAUGAUGAAGGAUCAUCUAUACUGUAAAAAUUUAUAUGAGCCAAUAUUAGGUUAUUCGACUAAACCAGCAGAUAUGAAAAAUAAAAGCUGAAAUAAGCUAGGUAGAAAGACGCUGGCUACAAUCAAAAAAUGGAUUGAUAUCAGCGUGUUCUAUCAUGUAGCGCAUAAGUCAGAUGCUCACAUUGUUUGAAAAAAUUUGACAGUAUUGUAUGAGAGAAAAACAUGUAUGAAUAAAGUUAUGCUUGUUAAAAAGCUUGUAACUUUACAGUACAGAGAUGGAUGAUCUGUUACAAAGCACUUGAGUGAUUUUUAAUAUAUAUUUAAUCAGAUGACUACUAUGGAGCUUAAGAUGAAUGAUGAAAUGAAGGUAUUAUUUUUUUUGAAUUUAUUGUCAGACAGCUGGAAUACUCUAAUUAUGAUUCUUCUUAAUUCAACUCCUGAUUAUAAGGUGACAUUGGAGAUGGUAAAUGACAGUAUGCUUAAUGAAGAAGCAAGGCGAAAAGAUGUAGACCCUAAGAAUCAAGCUCUGGUCACAAAAAACCGGGAUAGAAACAUCGAUAAAGGUCAUGACUCAAAAGGUCGUGGUAAGUCUAAACAUAGAUCCAAGUCUAGAGGUAAAGUGAAGUGUUUCUAUUGUGGUAAGAUAGGUCAUAUAAAACGAAACUAUAAAAUCUUAAAGCAAGAGCGAAAAGAUGAGAAAGGUAAGAGUUCAGAUGAUGGUAAUGUUGCAGUAGUGAAUUCAGAUAGUGCUUCAGUUACUUUGAUUUGUACACAUGGUGAUUGUAAUCAUAUUAGUGAUCUCGACAUUGAGUGGAUAGUUGACACAAGAGCGACAUAUCAUUGUGUUUCUAAGAUAGAGUUAUUUACAACUUACAAAGUAAGAGACUUUGAUUGUACCAAAAUGGAAAAUAAGAGUGUAACACAGAUUAUUGGGAUUGGUGAUAUUAUUGUACUAACUAGUACAGGCUGCAUGUUGACUUUGAGGGAUAUCAAACACAUUUCAGAUAUGAGAAUGAACUUGCUUGCUAUUAAUAUCUUUGAUAAGGAAAGAUAUGAAAGUCGACAAAAGAAUGGACAGUGGAAGCUUCUCAAAGGAUCUAUGGUAGUUGCAAGGAAAAAAUUAUGCUACACAAUGUAUAAGACAUAAAUGCAAUUGAAUGGUAACUAGGUAAAUGUCGUUGAAAAUGAUGCUUCAGCAAACUUGUGGCACAGGAGGCUGGCACACAUGAGUGAAAAAGGGUUACAGGUUUUGGCAAGACAGUCUCUUAUUCCCUUGACCAAAGGUAUGUCUCUCGAUUCAUGUGAUUAUUGUUUGUUUGGUAAGCAUCAUAGAGUUUUUUUUCGUAAAAGUUCUUAGAGAACAGAAAAUAGAUUGGAAUUAAUUUAUUCUAACGUAUGUGGUCUCAUUGAGGUUGGGUCAUUAGUUGGUAGCAGUUAUUUUGUUACUUUUAUUGAUAAUGCUUCACAUAAGACUUAGGUGUAUAUGUUAAAAUAAAAAAGUCAGGUACUGCAGUAUUUUUAAAAAUUUCAUGCCAUGAUUGAAAGGAUGACAGGGUUACCCUUGAAGUAUAUUCUAAAGGCUUUGAAGAGUAUUGUUCAAAGCAUGAGAUCAGACAUGAGAUGACAGAACCUAAAACAUCGCAACAUAAUGGUAUAGCUGAAAAAAUGAAUCAUACCAUUGUGAAAAAUGUCAGAUGUAUGUUGAGGAUGACAAAAUUACCAAAGCCAUUCUAGGGUAAAGCAGUUAACACGGCUUGUUAUUUACUUAACAGAUCAUUAUCAGUUCCUUUGGGCUUUGACAUUCCAAAAAGAGUGUGGACAGAAAAAUAUACUUCAUACUCUCACUUGAAAGUUUUUGGGUGUAAGCAUUUAUGCAUGUGCCGAAAGAGCAGAGAUCAAAGCUUGACAGUAAAGUCACACAGUGUGUGUUUGUAAGAUAUGAUGAUGAGAAAUUUGGUUACAGGGUAUGAGAUCCAGUAAAGAAAAAGAUAAUCAGAAGUAAAGAUGUGAUCUUUCAUGAAAAAAAAACCAUAGCAGACUUUGAGAAAAUGAGAAAACUACACGGGUUACUACUGAGUGUGAUGUUUCAACACCGACAGAGAUUCCACAGGAAAGAGCCAUAGAUGAUGGAAAUGAGUAAGAAACAGAACUUAAGAAUAUGAAUGAGCCAGCCACAGUUGGUGAUGUGCCAAAUGCAAUUAGUUUUGAGCAGGGAGAGCAAUCAUCUCUACCUGAAAGUGUUGAGCAGAGGGAGCUACCUUUGGCGUCAAGUGAUGUAGAGUCUCAGCCCAGGAGAUCUACUAGAGAGCGCAAGCCAUCUAUCAGGUAUCCAAGUUCAGAUUUUAUUUUAGUUACCAGUGAAAGUGAGCCAGAAAACUUUUAAGAUGUGCAAGCUACUCUGGAUAGAGAGCACUGGUUAAAAGUAAUGAAAGAAGAGAUGGAGUUAUUACGAAAAAAUGGUACUUAUGAUCUUGUUAAACUUUCAACAGAGAAGAGGCCAUUAAAAUAUAAAUGGGUGUUCAAGUUGAAAAAGGAUGGUGACAAACUAGUGAGGUACAAAGCUCGAUUGAUAGUAAAAGAUUUUUCUUAAAAACCAGGUAUCGAUUUUGAUGAAAUUUUUGCUACAGUUGUAAAGAUGAGUUCUAUUCGAGUGGUACUGAGAUUAGCAGCUAGUUUGAAUCUUGAGCUUGAGCAACUUGAUAUUAAAAUUGCAUUUUUGCAUGGUGAUUUGUAGGAGGACAUUUAUAUGAAUCAGCCUGAGAGUUUUGAAGUGAAAGAGAAAGAACACUUAGUUUACAAAUUGAAGAAAAGCUUGUACGACUUAAAACAAGCUCUGCGACAAUGGUAUAAUAAGUUUGAUUCUUUUAUGGUGAGUACAGCAGUGGAUUCUUGUGUGUAUGUUAAACAAUUUCCUAAUAGUAACUUCAUUAUCCUAUUAUUAUAUGUUGAUGAUAUGUUGAUUGUAGGACAAGAUGCUAGUAUGAUUUACAGGUUGAAAGAAUAAUUGUCUAAGUUUUUUUAUAUGAAGGAUUUAGGUCCAGCAAAGCAGGUUCUUGGUAUGAACAUUAUCCGAGAUAAGAGAGCUAAAAAACUAUGGUUGUCCGGGAUAUGAGAGCUAGAAAACUGUGAUUAUCAUAAGAAAAGUAUGUUGAACGAGUGCUUGGUAGAUUCAACAUGUAACAUGCUAAAUCAAUUAGCAGUCCACUGGCCAACCAUUUUCAUAUAAGUAAAAAAUCUUGUCCAGUGUCAAAGAAGAGCAACUAGCUAUGUCUAGUAUUCCUUAUUCUUUUGCAGUCAAUUUUUUAAUGUAUCUUAUGGUUUGUACAAGGUCUGACAUUGCUCAUGCAGUUGGUGUAGUGAGCAAAUUUCUUUCUAAUCCAAAAAAAGCUCACUGGAAAGCAGUGAAAUAAAUUUUUAGAUAUUUGAGGGGUACCUCAAAAAUGUGCUUGACUUAUGAAGUUUCACAACCAGUUCUAGAAAGGUUUACUGAUGCUAACAUGGCAGGCGAUCUUGAUGGUAAAAAAUCUACUUCAGGGUAUUUGUUUACUUUUGUAGGAAGAGCUGUAUCUUGGUAAUCUAAGUUAUAGAAGUGUGUUGCUUUGUCAACUACAGAGGCUGAGUAUAUUACAACAAUCGAAGCAUGUAAAGAAAUGCUUUGGAUGAAAUAUUUUCUUCUUGAAUUGAAGUUGAAUUAGAAAAAGUAUGUGGUAUUUUAUAAUAGUCAAAGUGCUUUAGAUUUGAGUAAGAAUACCAUGUACCAAGCUAAAACAAAGCACAUUGAUGUUAGAUAUCAUUGGUUACGUUCAAUGAUUGAAGAAUAGCAGAUGCUAUUGAAGAAAGUUCAUACUGAUAAGAAUGUAGCAAAUAUGUUGACUAAGAGACUUCCUAAGAAAAAGCUUGAGCUUUGCAGUAACUUAACCGAAAUGAGUUCCCUGGCCAAGGUAAGUUUCAAAUAAAACUGCUAUGGUGAUGAAUCUCCUCCUAAUGGGGCUGAAGGGAGAGAUUAUUAGGAAAAUGGGGUCCAGCCUCAUGUAAGUGGUUUUGGACCAAGUAAAGGCCAUGGGCCUUGAUCUUUCAUUUUACAUAAAGCCCUAACUACUUAAUAAAAAAGAGGUUAGGUUAUUUUAAAUGGGUGUCGAAAACCAAGUAGAGAAAGAAGAAAAGCUAAAAAAAACAGAGAGAAAAAAAAGAAGGGAGAGUUGGUUGAACAGAAGUUGAUCCGUGGUCCGAUUGAGUUGGAACCUUGUCAAGAGGUUUAUGAUUCAGAGUUUUACAUUCUGAACAGUGAAGAUCGGAUUUGAAGCUCUCUAGGAAUAAAUUCAGAGUGUAUUUGUUGAGUCACUUAUUUGGUGAGAUUUCUUCAAUUGUUUCUCUAGUUGUUGUUUAGCUCUAGUUUUAGCUAGAGAAGAACUUUGUAUACCUAUUAUUUGAUAGUGAAGAUUUUUCUGGUGGUCCGUAAUUUUUUUCCUCUACACUAGAGGGUUUUCUACGUAAAUCUUAAUGUGCUUUAUUUUUUUGUGUUUUUUAUUAUUGAUUGUUUUCUAUUGCUUCUGUAUUAUUGUGAUUAUUGCUUCAGACGCAAUAAUUUUCAUGGCUUUUUGUUGGAGAAAAAACCAACAAUUAAAUGAUUGUUGUGUAUAGAGUUUUGUUUUCUCUUCUCUAUAGUUAGGGAGUUAAAGGGCUUAAGGUUCUUGGCAAUGGCAUUUGGCUGUGAAAAAUGAUCGAGUUUGGUUUUGGAUUGUUAACAUUGUCCUUCAUCGUUAUUUUGGUAUGUAAAAUUUAUAAUAAUGUAUUGGUGUCUCCAAAUUUGUCUUGUUUAGGGUUAACAAUGGAUCGAAUCAAGUCGAAUUUUUGUUCGCUCCAAACUUGAUCAGAAUUUAUAAUUAUAAAAUUCGAAUUCGAUUCGAUUUGAAAAAUUUUUUAUUUAUUUAUAUUCGAACCCGAUUCAACUCGAUGUUGUAUAAACCGUACUCAAUUCGAUUUGAUUCGAAAUUAUAAAAUAUUAUUUUUAAAUAUAAAAUAUAUUUUUUAAAUAUAAAUAUAUAAAUAUAUAAUUAAUUAAUUAAAAAUAAUUUUUAUAUAAUAUCGGAUCGGAUCAAAUUUAUCUAAAAUUUGAAUCUGAUCCGAUCUUUAUUUUUUUAAUAAUAAUAUCUAAUUCGAUCUGAAAUCUGAUUUUAAAAAAUAUAUAUUAACUUUAUGCGAUCGGAUUGAGUCGGAACCAUCGAAAGCAAAUUGGGCUGCCAACCCUAAUCUUGUUCUUACUUCCGAUGGAAAUUGCAUAAUAAAUUCGAAAUUAAAUGUCUUUUUUCUUAGAUAAAUGUUAAGAAAAUUUGAGUCUUUGACUAAGAAAAUCUAUUAAAUCUUAUAGAAACAUACACAUUUCACCUACAAAAGGGUUAGUUCAAUGAUGGUGAAAGAAAAAAAAAAUUUUUAUUCAGGUUCGAUUUGUGUGGAACAUUCGAGACCAAAAUUAUGAAUGUAAGAGGCCAUCAAGGGAAUGUGUAUUGUUAAAAUUUUUUAGUGAAAAAAAUUAUAUCCAAAUAAAGUUUAAAAAUACUCUAUUCAUAUUUUAAAAAAAUAUUUUUUUGAUAAAUUAUGCAUAAUCCUUAAAUUCAUAAUGAAUCACUUCAAUGACGGAUUCACAUGUAUAAAUAAAAUAUUUAUGGACAUUCAAAAAUUAAAAAAAAUUAAAUAUUUUUUAGCAAUAAAAUUAAUAAAUUUAUUGAUAGUUUUAUAUAUAUUAUAAUAAAUUAACAUAAAACACUUAAAGAUCCAUCUUAAAUAUUAUGUUUAAAUAACACAAUAAUAUUAUAUUAUUAUUAAAAUAAUAUAAUAUUAGUUAUUAUUGAAAUAUUAAAAAUAUUUUAUUUAAAUAAUAUAUAAAAUUAAAAUAUUAAAAACUUUUAAUGUUAAUAUUUUAAUUUUUUUAUUAAAACUAAAUAAAAUAUAUUUUAAUAUAAUAAUAUUUUAAAUGAAACAAAUCAAGAUCCAUCUUAAAUAUUAUGUUUAAAGAGUAAAUUUAUAAAAAUAUUUAAAAUUAAAAUAUUAAAAUAUUUUUAAUAUUAAUAUUUUAAAUUGUUAAAUAAAAUUAAAUAAAAAUUAUUAUUUAUUAAUAUAAUAAUAUUUUAGAUCAAAUUAAGUUUAAACUUAAAAUAAUUAUAUUCAAAAUUUGACUUUAUUAAAAUUAUACUCAAAUAUAUUAAUAAGUAAUUUUAUUCAUAAACAGCUUUUUUUAAAAUUAUAUUUUCCUACUCAGAAUGAUAAGAUAAUUUUAUAAAAAAAUAUCUUAAUUUUCAUUGAUGAAUAAAUCAUUUUUUAUUAAUUAAUCAAAAUUUUGACAAAUAAACAUAUAAAAAUAAAAAUAUAAUUUUCGAUUUUUUUUUUAAACAGACGGAGUUUGUCUAUUUCUUUACUAUUAUUGUCUCCAUUGUAGGAUGUACAGUUAAAGCAUUUAUUUUAUUAUAAUACCACUACACCAUAGUACUACUUGAAACCAUUGGCUUUUUCCUUUUGUUUAGGCAAUACCAUCUCUGGUUUUUUCCCAACGCUUUCCUCUAUAUAAGAAACUCUCACCCGCUUACAAAUUCGCUUCAACAAAGCAAAAUACAGGCAGAAACUAGUCUUUGAAUCCCAAAAUAUCCCAUUUCCACUUUCAUUUCCAUCACCUCUCAAAAGCGUUGAAAAAAGAAAAAUAUGAGUUCUUCAACAAGAGCUUGGAUGGCAGCUGCUAGCAUUGGAGCUGUUGAGGCCUUAAAAGAUCAAGGAAUUUGUAGAUGGAAUUAUGGUCUAAGGUCAAUUCAACAGCAUGUCAAGAACAAUAUCAGAUCAUCUUCUCAAGCUAAGAAAGUUUCUGUUCCAUCUUCUUCUGCUUUGGCUAAGAAACUGAGGGAAGAUGAUAAGUUGAAGAAGUCAGAGGAAGCACUUAGAACUGUCAUGUAUUUGAGCUGUUGGGGUCCAAAUUAAGCUACCCCUUCGUUUUUUGUACAUAUGUAAUGCUAAUUUUGCUUCAAUUAUAUUACUUGAACUAUCAAAAAUAUGUUCAAAAGUUGAGUUUGAUAUUAGAAAAUUUUGGGGAUAAAUUUAUAUAUGAACUUUUUGUCUCUGAUGAUCAUGAAUUAGAAUCUUACACUGUGUUUGGUGAUGGAAAAAAAGAAAGAAAGAGAAAACGAAAAGUACUAUAAUAAAAAAAUAGCUAUUCUUAUCAGAAACAUUCUAAAUUAAAUUGAAUAAAUUGAGGUGAAAAUCACAUGGAAGCUUUCUUUAGUCUUUAACCUCAGCCUCCAAAAUCAAAUGCUAUGAAUAAAGUAAAGGCAAAUCACAAGUUUGUUGGCUUUGCAAAAUAAUAAAUGGUUUUUAAGUCCAAAAUAAAGGGGCGCUGUAAGUUUUCCAAAACGAUUGGCAGACACCAACCAGCCAAUAGAUUUAUACUCUUUCAUGUUAUAUAUUAAAAAAUAUAUAUAUUUAGUCACAAACCCAAUUAUAAAUGGGACCAGUCCCAUUUCAUCAGCACCAUUAUUAACUCAUAAAAGAAAAAAAAAAGAAAAAGAAAAGAAAAUCUCUUCCUUUGUUUGCCACAAUCCUACUUUCAAAGAUAAAAAUAUUUUCUUGAUAAGAUUCACAAGAAAACAAUGAGUGCAACAAGGAAAGCAUGGAUUGUGGCAGCUACAAUUUAUGGAGUGGGGGCAUUGAAGGAUCAAGGAAUUUGCUGAUGGAAUUAUGUCUUCGGGCAUGCCAAGAAAAAUCUUAGGUCAUUUACCGAGGCCAAGGUUCAUUCCUUUCCAUAUCUGCCGGCCCUGGCGGCGGCUUCGGGUAAGAUGAGGGAGGAGGUGAAGAAACCCAACAAGUUCAUCAAAAAAGUGAUGGAAUUGAAUUCCUGGGUCCUAGUAUAGUUAGAUUUUAAUGUAAUUUUCAUGGCUUUUUGUUGGAGAAAAAACCAAACGAUUAAAUUGUCGGGAAAUACUACAGUUCUGAUAUCAUUUAUUAGGUUAAAAAUUUUUAAUUCAAUCAUAUCAGUAAAAAUAAAAUUAAAUAAUAAAUCAAACACAUAAAAAAUAAUAAUUUAAUGUGGUUCGAUCCAAUCAAUUUACGUCCACGAAUGAGAAACAAGAUCCACUAGUUGUAGAGAAUUACAAACAUACAUUAAAUCAUCAACUUCACUCAACAAUCAAUACUCAUAAGACACUCUCAAUCUCCUCUAAUCCUAUAGAGUAUUCUUAACUCAAACAAACACAAAUCCAAAUCUUUGUGCACCCUUUCAACAUAUCCAAAUACAUAUCAAUAUACUCUCAUACAUCAUACCUAUAUGUACUCUCUCAGUCUCCUUUAAUAUACUCAUAAAUAAACAUACACAUUUAUAAUACGUAAAGCCACAAUACUUUUAUGGGGUGUCUAUCCCACACAACCCUACAAUUCUCUUAUAUUUUUUUCUCAUACCUAACUCUGUAGAGACUUCACCUAUUUAUAACAAUACAAACAUACCCAUUAAGAAUCUUUUUCUUCUUAUAAUUUUUUUAUUGUAAGUCAAACUCACCUAUUAAGAAUUUUUUUCUCUUAUAAUUCUUUUUUUGCAAGUCAAAUUUAUCUAUUAAAAAUCUCAUUUCUCUUAAAAUUUUUUUUUUGUAAGUCUUCUUGUUCAUUAAGUAAUAUCAACAAAUCUCAAACAAAUCUCUAACAAAUUUCAAUAUUCUAAACAUAAAUAAUUGUUUGUGUAUAGAGUUUUGUUUUCUCUUUUUUAUAGUUAAGGAGUUAAAGGGCUUAAAGUCUUUGGAAUGGCAUGUGGCUUUAAAAAAUGACUGAGUUUGGUUUUGGAUUGUUAACAUUGUCCUUCAUCGUUAUUUUGGUAAGUAAAAUUUAUAAUAAUGUAUUGGUGUCUCCAAAUUUGUCUUGUUUAGGGUUAACAAUGGAUUGGUUCGGGUCGAGUUUGUAUUCGUUUUAAAUUUGAUCCGAAUUUAUAAUUAUAAAAUUCGAAUUCGAUUCAAUUCGAAUUUUUUUUUUAUUUUUUUAUAUUCGAAUCUGAUCUAACUCGAUAUUGUAUAAAUCAUACUCGAUCCGAUUUAAUUCGAAAUUAAUAAAAUAUUAUUUUUUAAAUAUAAUUAUAUAAUUAUAUAAAUAUAUAUAAUUAUUAAAAAAUAAUUUUUAUAUAAUAUCAGAUCGAAUUUACUUAAAACUCGAAUAUGAUCCAACCUCUAUUUUUUUUAAUAAUAAUAUCUAAUUUGAUUUAAAAUUUGAUUUAAAAAAAAUUAAUUUUAUGAGAUCGGAUUGGAUCGAAAUCCUACUGAAGCAAAUUGAGCUGCCAACUCUAAUCUUAUUUUUACUUCCGAUGGAAAUUGCAAAAUAAAAUCGAAAUUAAAUGUCUUUUUUUCUUAGAUAAAUGUUAAGAAAAUUUGAGUCUUUGACUAAGAAAAUCUAUUAAAUCGUAUAAAACAUACACAUUUCACCUAGAAAAGGUUAGUCCAAUGAUGGUGAAAGAUUUUUUUUUUUUUAUUCAGGGUUCGAUUUGUGUGGAACAUUCGAGACCAAAAUUAUGAAUGUAAGAGGCCAUCAAGGGAAUGUGUAUUGUUAAAAUUUUUUAGUGAAAAAAAUUAUACUCAAAUAAAGUUUAAAAAUACUCUCUUCAUAUUUUUAAAAAACAUUUUUUUGAUAAAUUAUGCAUAAUCCUUAAUUUCAUAAUGAAUCACUUCAAUGACGGAUUCACAUGUAUAAAUAAAAUAUUUAUGGACAUUCAAAAUUAAAAAAAAUUAAAUAUUUUUUUAUCAAUAAAAUUAAUAAAUUUAUUGAAAUUUUAUAUAUAUUAUAAUAAAUUAACAAAACACUGAAAGAUCCAUCUUAAAUAUUAUGUUUAAAUAACAUAAUAAAUAUUAUAUUAAUUAUUAAAAUAUAUAUAAUAUUAGUUAUUAUUGAAUAUUAAAAAUUAUUAUUUUAAAUAAUUAUAUAAAAUUAAAAUAUUAAAAAAACUUUUAAUGUUAAUAUUUUAAUUUUUUUAUUAAAGAUUAAAAAUAAAAUAUAUUUUAAUAUAAUAAUAUUAUUACAAUGAAUCAAAUCAAAGAUCCAUCUUAAAUAUUAUGUUUAAAGAGUAAAUUUAUACAAAUAUUUAAUAUUAAUAUUUUAAAUUGUUAAAUAAAAUUAAAUAAAAAUUAUUAUUUAUUUAUUUAAUAAUAUUUUAGAUCAAGUUAAGUUUAAACUUAAAAUAAUUAUAUUCAAAAUUUAACUUUAUUAAAAUUAUACUCAAAAAUAUUAAUAAGUAAUUUUAUUCAUAAACAGUUUUUUUAAAAUUAUUUUUUCCUACUCAGAAUGAUAAGAUAAUUUCCAAAAGUAUAAGAUAAUUUCAUAAAAAAUUAUCAUAAUUUUCAUUGAUGAAUAAAUCAUUUUUCAUUAAUUAAUCAAAUAUUUGACAAAUAAACAUAUAAAAAUAAAAAUAUAAUUUUCGAUUUUUUUUUUUAAACAGACGGAGUUUGUCUAUUUCUUUACUAUUAUUGUCUCCAUUGUAGGAUGUACAGUUAAAGCAUUUAUUUUAUUAUAAUACCACUACCCCAUAGUACUGCUUGAAACCAUUGGCUUUUUCCUUUUGUUUAGGCAAUACCAUCUCUGGUUUUUUCCCAACGCUUUCCUCUAUAUAAGAAACUCUCACCCGCUCACAAAUUCGCUUCAACAAAGCAAAAUACAGCCAGAAACUAGUCUUUGAAUUCCAAAAUAUCCCAUUUCCACUUUCAUUUCAAUCACCUCCCAAAAGCGUAGAAAAAAGAGAAAUAUGAGUUCUUCAACAAGAGCUUGGAUGGCAGCUGCUAGCAUUGGAGCUGUUGAGGCCUUAAAAGAUCAAGGAAUUUGUAGAUGGAAUUAUGGUCUAAGGUCAAUUCAACAGCAUGUCAAGAACAAUAUCAGAUCAUCUUCUCAAGCUAAGAAAGUUUCUGUUCCAUCUUCUUCUGCUUUGGCUAAGAAACUGAGGGAUGAUGAUAAGUUGAAGAAGUCAGAGGAAGCACUUAGAACUGUCAUGUAUUUGAGCUGUUGGGGUCCAAAUUAAGCUACCCUUCGUUUUUGUACAUAUGUAAUGCUAAUUUUGCAUCAAUAUACUUGAACUAUCAAAAAUAUGUUCAAAAAGUUGAGUUUGAUAUUAGAAAAUUUUGGGGUAAAUUUUAUAUGAACUUGUCUCUGAUGAUCAUGAAUUAGAAUCUUACACUUGUGUUUGUGAUGGAAAAAAAAAGAAAGAGAAAACGAAAUACUAUAAUAAAAAAAUAGCUAUUCUUAUCAGAAACAUUCUAAAUUAAAUUGAUUAAAUUGAGGUGAAAAUCACAUGGAAGCUUUCUUUACUCUUUAACCUCAGCCUCCAAAAUCAAAUGCAAUGAACAAAGUAAAGGCAAAUCACAAGUUUGUUGGCUUUGCAAAAUAAUAAAUGGUUUUUAAGUCCAAAAUAAAGCGCAGCUGUAACUUUUCCAAAACUAUUGGCAGACACCAACUAGCCAAUGGUUUUAUACUCUUUCAUGUUAUAUAUUAAAAAAUAUAUAUAUUUAGUCACAAACCCAAUUAUAAAUGGGACCAGUCCCAUUUCAUCAUCACAUCAUUAACUCAUAAAAGAAAAAGGAAAAAAAAGAAAAGAAAAUCUCUCUCUUCGUUUGCCACAAUCCUACUUUCAAAGAUAAAAAUAUUUUCUUGAUCAAGAUUUACAAGAAAACAAUGAGUGCAACAAGGAAAGCAUGGAUUGUGGCAGCUACAAUUUAUGGAGUGGAGGCAUUGAAGGACCAAGGAAUUUGCAGAUGGAAUUAUAUCCUAAGGCAUGCCAAGAAAAACCUUAGAUCAUUUACCGAGGCCAAGGUUCAUUCCUCUCCAUAUCUGCCGGCCCUGGCGGAGGCUUCCGGUAAGAUGAGGGAGGAGGUGAAGAAACCCGACAAGUCCAUAAAAAAAGUGAUGGAAUUGAAUUCCUGGGGUCCUAGUACAGUUAGAUUUUAAUGUAAUUUUCAUGGUUUUUUGUUGGAGAAAAAAACCAAUGAUUAAAUGAUUGUUUGUAUAUAGAGUUUUGUUUUCUCUUCUCUAUAGUUAGGGAGUUAAGGACUUAAGGUACUUGGCAAUGGUAUGUGACUUUAAAAAAUGAUUGAGUUUGGUUUUGGAUUGUAAACAUUGUCCUUCAUUGUUAUUUUGGUAUGUAAAAUUUAUAAUAAUGUAUUGGUGUCUUCAAAUUUGUCUUGUUCUUACUUCCAAUGAAAAUUACAUAAUAAAUUCGAAAUUAAAUGUUUUUUUUCAUAGAUAAAUGUUAAGAAAAUUUGAGUCUUUGACUAAGAAAAUCUAUUAAAUCUUAUAGAAACAUACACAUUUCACCUACAAAAGGGUUAGUCCAGCUGAUGGUGAAAGAUUUUUUUUUUUUUUAAUCAGGGCUCGAUUUGUGUGGAACAUUAGAGAGCAAAAUUAUAAAUGUAAGAGGCCAUCAAGGGAAUAUGUAUUGUUAAAAUUUCUUAGUGAAAAAUUAUACCCAAAUAAAGCUUAAAAAUAUUUUAUUGGUAUUUUGAAAAAAUAUUUUUGAUAAAUUAUGCAUAAUCCUUAAUUUCUUAAUGAAUCAAUUCAAUGAGGGAUUCGCAUGUAUAAAUAAAAUAUUUAUGGACAUUCAAAAAAAUUUUAAAAAAAUAUUUUUUAAUCAAUAAAAUUAAUAAAUUUAUUGAUAAUUAUAUAUAUAUAUUAUAAUAAAUUAACAUAAAACACUUAAAUCCGCCACUAAAUCAACCUAAACAAAAAAACAAUGGUCAUUUAAAACCGAAACCCAAAAUCAGGGCAAAGAUUAGCUAAUUUCCUUAGCAAAUUAAAUUCAAUAAAACAAAACAAAGGUCCCCCCGCUCUUCUUUGUUUGGUCUGAAAGGGAGUUGAUUUCCUUGAGAAGCCAAGUUCAGUUGUGUAGAUUUAGACUCUUGGUUACGUGUUUAAGCCAUUAGUUUAUACGUCCGUGUCGUAAAACCAUUGAAUCUCAAAAGCAUCGAAACAAAAACCAAACAAUUCCAGCCUAGUAGAAGUCUAGUAAACCCACCAAAGCACUUGGUUUUGUCUUCAUUUCUUGCUUAAACCGCCUAUGGUUUUCCACCUUUCCCCACCAUUUAAAACCACCCAACAUUACAUUUCAACACCCAAAACUGAAAAAGAAGGAACCUGUAGGAAAUAUCAUUACCCUUUGUGACAAUGAGUGGAGUUACAGGGAAAGCAUGGGUUGUGGCAGCUACAAUUGGAGCGGUGGAGGCAUUGAAAGACCAAGGAAUAUGUAGAUGGAAUUAUACUAUAACAUCGCUUGUUCAACAUGCCAAUAACAAUAUCAGAUCUUUGACUCAGGCCAAGAUGACUUCUUCUUAUUCUUCUUCUUCUUCUUCUUCUUCUUCAGCUGCUGCUGGUGCUGCUGCUGUUUCAAAUAAGCUGAGAGAGGAAAAGAGGAGAAAAGCUGAGGAGAAUAUGAGGAAAGUCAUAGAUCUGAACUGUUGGGGUCCAACUACUGUUAGAUUUUAAUGUUAUGAUCAUAUAUAUAGAAAGUUUUGUUGGAGAUCAAAAAGAGGGAUGAUAUAUAUGGAUAGAUGCUAAUGAGCCUUUUGCUUUUUCUUAUUGCAAGAUUUGGCUCUAUGUAAUUGAUUGGGGAUCAAGUCAUGAAAUAUGAAAUUUUCAAUCUAGAUUUUGGAUUCCAAUCAUUUCCUUUUUUUUUUUUUUUCUGAUUUUUCUAAUCAAUUGAUUGGAUUCUAUACAAAUUGAGAGCAACUCUCAAAUUUCCAAAAAUCAAAUUCAAAGUCUCUCCUCAAUACAUCUUUCAACAUGUUUGAUUUGAUUAUAUAGUUGUUGAUACAUUCAUGAUUUAUAAAAUGUGAAUCUGUUAUAUCUAUAAAAAAAAAGAAAUUAAAGAAGGUGUGAAUUUAUAUAGUUCCUGAGGAUAUAUGCAUAGUUAGAACCGAGGAACAUAGAAUUAAACAAAUAGGUAUUAAAAUUGAGUCUGAAAUUUCAAGAUUCCAAAUCCUUUUGUUUGUCAUUAAGAUAAGAUUUUAUUGGCAAUUUUGAACAACUUCAAUGCUUUACUUAUUCUAUUAAUGUUAGCUUAAAAUUUUGAUUAAAGAGAUGAAAAUUUGAAAUUAAAGCCAAAAUAACAAUCUGUGUAAAGUAAAUUUCUAGAAAUUUCACUUUGACAUUUCCCUUUUAAUUACUAUCGAAAGAUUCUUCAAUCAAAGCGUAUCGACAAAUCCAUCAAAUGAGUUGGAAAGGCAUUUUUUGGUAUUUAAAAUACUAGGGGUUUCUACUUUCGGCUAUGCCUACAGUUUUUCAUUUCUUUGCUUUAAUCUAAAUCAAGUGGCUACAAAACAGCAAGUGAUAUUAUUUAUCUAUUUUUAAUUAAUUACAUGGUUUUGAUAUUUAUUCUUUAUUAAUUGCUUUAUAAUGUUAUUUUCAAUAAAUAAAAAAGUAUUUAAUAUUUAAUUAUUGAGAUGUAAGGCAUCCAGUGCGGGUCAAUUUAUUAAUUAUGGCGUGGGAUUUAUAUCUUUUCCACACAUUGAUCAAGAAUUAUUAUCAAUAUAAAAAUGAUGAAAAAUCCAAUUUCACCACGUAUUGAUUUAAUAAUAUUUUUAUAAUAAGAGGUUGUCAUCUAAAAAAAUUAUAUAUAUUAAAAUUCGAAUUGUUCAUUUUAAACUUGAUUUUGUAACUUUAAUUAAAAAUAUAUGCUAUCUUGAUCUAAAAAUUAAAUAAUUUAUCUGUUCGGAAUCUGGAUUGCCCCAAGUAAUCUAAAACGCGUUGAAAAUCCAAAGCCAAAACAGUGAAAAGCAAGCACUUGGUUUUUUGCUUUUGUCUCCUAAAACCAGGGGCACUUUCCGUAGCUCCAAGUCCUGAUAUCUGGCUAAACCGCCUGUUGUUUUCCGAAUCUUUCUUCACUAUAUAAAAAACAGACCAACCAUUUCAUUUCUCCAACUCAAAAUCAACAAUUCAACAGCAGUAACAUCAACCUGCUAGGCUGCAAAUCGAUUCUAUUUGCAAGAAAUUCGACAAUGAGUAGUGCAGCCGCGAGGAAAGCCUGGAUUGUUGCAGCUACAAUAGGUGCAGUGGAGACAUUGAAAGACCAAGGCAUAUGCAGAUGGAAUUAUACCAUAAGGUUGCUUCAUCAACAUACCAAGAACAAUAUCAGAUCAUUUGUUCAGGCCAAGAUGCUUUCUCCUUCUUCAGCUGCUGCUUCAAAUAGAUUGAUGAAGAAAUCUGAAGAGAAGAUGAGAAAAGUCAUGGAGUUGAGCUGUUUGGGUCCUAAUACUAUUAGAUUUUAAUGUUCAUAAAUGCUAAAAUAUUUUAUUUUUUCCCACUCCAAUUUUGUUAUGGUUGAGGUAGGAUUAAAUGGCAUGUUCUGAAAUUUUUUGUUAUGAGUAAUGGCUGGUUCAAGAUUUGGCCAGAAAUGAAAUCAAAUUGAAUAUAAUUUUGUUUGAUAAACAUGUUCUUUUCAGUCUCAAAUUUUCUGGGUUUAUUUUUUGUUCUUAUUUUCAUUUUUAUCUUAGAUUAUAGAAAGAAUAAGAAAAAGUUCAUGGAUAGACUCAAAAUAUGCUUGAAACAAUAUCUUUUUUUAAGUCAAAAUUUCAUUUUCAAAGAAAUUUACUUGAAAUUCGGAUUCUAAAAAAAUGCAGACAAUGAGAAGAGCAUCAAAUUUAUUAGAACUUCAGCUGCAAUCAUGUUAAUCAGAUUUAGAGAAUAGGAAAGUCUUAUGAUACGUGGAAUUUUUUUUUUUUAAAAAAAAGAGGGCAUAACACUUAAUAAGGAGAAGAAAAUUCUGAUUCGAAAUCCAGAUUUUUAUGUCUCAUAAAACCUAGACCAAGAGGUGGAGGAUCAAAUUCUUCUUUUAACUUAUGAUUAUGAAAAGAAUUCAGUUAAAAAAAAUUUAUUUACACCCAUAAAAUUUCUUUUUACAUUCCAUUAUUAAAUAUUUUUUACUUCCCAAAUAAAAUAUUCUAUUAUUUCUAAAUACACCAUCUAACAAAAUUACAUUUCAUUUCAUACUUUUCUAAAUUUCUUUUCCAUUCUCUUACUUUCAAUGCAAAUUCAAUCUAAACUUAACUCUAAAUUAUCGAAUCAAUCUUUAGAUUAAGUAUUUUAUUUAUUGUAAAUAAAAUUUUGAUAUGUUUAUUGAUUAAUUUGAUUUAAAUUAAUGCAAAAAUUAUCUAAAGUUAAAAAUUUUAUUUAGACAAAUUCAAAAUUUUUAAAAAUGAAUUUCUUAAAAAUUUUUAAAACUUUUGAAAAUAAAUUUCCAAAAAAUCUUUAAAGCUUUCAUAAUUGAAUUUUCUAGAACUUUAAAAACUUUCAAAAAACUUAUUACUCUCGAAAAUUUAUAUUUGAAACUUUUAAAAUUUUUUAAAAUUAUUUUUGAGAAUUUUAAAAUAAAAAAUUUUUAAAUUAGAAUGUAAAAAGAUAAAAUUAUUAUUUAUUAAAAAAUAAAAUUAAUAUUUUAUAUAUGAAUAUUUUUAAUAAAAAAAUAUAAGGGAUAAAAAAAAUUUUGAUAGUGUAUUUAAAACUCAUGUAACCAAAAUUGACAAGAAUGAUCAAUUAUUCUCAGGUUUCACACACUUGUAAAGGUUUUACCAAUCAAAAUUUACAAAAGGAAUAGUCUCGGUGAAUCUAUAAUCCUCCUCUUUAUCUGUCAAAAUCUCUUAAACCUGGUGCUUCCAUAAAACUACAUACACUUGCCAAAGCAAUUUAGUUGAGUCAGUGUCAAGUCAGUGUAUCUUUCUUUUUCUAUUGACACUUUUGUCUCUUUCAGAUCAUUGAAAAACAAAACCAUGGGUCUCUUCCCCAAGCUGUUGAUAAAACUGCCUAUGGUUUUGCACUAAUUUGUUUUCCACUAACCCACUAUCUCUCAAACUUUCACUAUAAAAGAACCUCCUCCUUCCUUUUAUCACACUCAAAAACCCACAAAUUCUCUCUAGUUUUUCAGUUCAUCAAACCCCAAAAUAAUUAUAAAAAAAAAUGAGUUGUACAAGGAAAUCAGCCUGGAUGGUGGCAGCAAGCAUUGGAGUGGUGGAGGCAUUGAAAGAUCAAGGGCUUUGCAGGUGGAACUAUGCAUUGAGAUCAGUUCAACAACAUGCCAGGGCUAAUAUCAGACAAUAUUCUCAGACUAAAAAGUUGGCUACCCAAUCUUCUUCUGCUUUGUCAAAGAAAUCGAGAGAUGAGAAGUCGAAGCAAUCUGAAGAGUCACUAAGAAAAGUUAUGUAUUUAAGCUGUUGGGGUCCAUAUUAAACUAAAACCCUUGUGUUAUUUGUGCACAUAAUGUCAAAUUUCAUUAGAAACUUGGUUCAACUUCUUUUUUCUUUUCCCUUUCCAGGAUUAUUCAAUGAAAAUUUUGGUUAAAAAUCAGAAUUGAAGUGCCAAUUUAUGGUUUCAAUCUCAGAUAUUGAAAUCAGUUGAACAUAUAACCUGUACUUUGGGCUGGGAAAGUAGCCCAAGGAGCUGAAGCAUAUGAUUUCUCAUUUUUGCACUUUAAUUUGGGCAUGAUUGAAAGGAAAAUUUAAUGGGUAAAAACAGUCUUUAAUUUUGUAAUGAUGUUCAUCAUCUUUUGGUUAUUGGAAGAGUUUUUUUUCUACAUAGAAAAAAAAAUUAGCAAUUAUGAAAUGAAAUGAAAUGAAAGUCCUUUUUAUCUUCCCUUGAUUGACAUAAAAUUUGAAAUGAAAUACAAGGAUUCAGGAGGAAAUUUAAAUAUAGCAAUAAAAAAAGAGUUCCCAUAAAACAAAAUAUAAAUAAAUAAAGUAAAUUCCAUAAAUAGGAAUAUUCUUCUUUAUGGUGAAUUUAAUCCACAAAAAAAAUUUAAAAAAGGGAAAAUUAACCCAUUUAAAUCACAAUCAUGAAUAGACUUUUUUUUUUCCAUAUAUAAAUUAUUGAAUCCAACAAAAAAAAAGGGAAAAAACAGUGCAAGUUGAUAGAUCCAAAGACAAAAUUAUUCUACCUUUUGCCCUCAACUUAGGGAAUAUAAUUACUCAUAUUUGUCCAUUUCUAAGCCCCAUUUUUGCUUAAUUUUAUCUAAUUAUUUUCUUUUUUAAAUUUAUAUUUUUUCCCAAAAUCAGAUGUCAAAAGAAAUAUUUUGGUUGCUGAAGAACGAAUUAAGAAUUAUUAUGUACUAAAAUAAUGUACAAAAUUAUGCCUUACAACUAAAUCAAUUCAUUGGUCCAGUUAUUUAUCUUUAACUCAAAGACUGCUCAAGUUUUAAAAUAAUUUAAAUAAGAAAUUAAAAAUUAUGAUUUAAGUAUAAUUUUUAAAUUUAAUUAAAUUGAAUUCGAUUCAAAUAAAAUAUAUAAUUAAAAUAUUAUAAUUAUAUAAAUAUAUAUUUAAAUUUUUAUUUUUAUACUUUAUUUAAAAAAGGGAUUUUUUUCAAAUCCACCAAAUUAAUCCUCAUUUUUUUUUUUCACAAAAACUACUUCCUAGCUAUUACUGUUUAAUUUUUACAAGAAAAUAAAUAGAACCGGACAAGUGGAAACAAUAGUCGUUGUCUGGUCCAAACCCUCUAACUAUAAAUAUAUAAGUACAUUAUAAGCCCAUGCCGAUAUUCAAAACAUUAAAACCCAAAAACAACCCAAACAGUCAAUGCAUUGAAGAAAACUACCCUGACCAAAAAAAAUUUGUUUUUAGGUCCAAUAAUUUUUUUGUCUGAGAUCUUUUUUAUCCGAUAAUUACUUUAAAUUUCGAUUAACUCAAGUAAUUAUUUUGAAUUUUAAUUAAUUAAAAAUUAAAUUAGAUCAAAUCUCAUAAAAAAUAUAAAUUUUUUUAAAGUUUAUUUUUUGUUUGCACAAAAAAUAUCAAAUAUUAAUAUUUAAAUUUUAAAUUUAUUAAAUAUUAUUUUUAAAAAAUAAUUACAUGAAUUAAUUAAAUUAAAAUUUAAAAUUUAAAUUUUAAUUAUUUAAUAUUAAUAUUUCUUUUUUUAUUUAAUAAUAUUUGAAUAAUCCAAAAUUUCCUUCUCGCUAAAUUAAAAAAUAAACAUCAAAACUGAUAUAUAACAGAGAAAGCUUUUUUUUUUUUUUGCAAUAAUUGUGAAUCAUCACUUGCAGUACAGACAUGGACCAUUCCUUACAUAUGUUUGGUGACCGAUCUAUUAGCCAACAAAAUGCCCUUCUCAUGCAGGCUCAACCUACUCCUCCUGAAUUAAUAUGGUUUUUUUGUAAUUGUUAUUGAAUAAAAAGAAAAUUUGGCAAUAUUUGCUAGGUUGGCAUGAUAAUAUUUGAAUAGAUGUUACAAAGGACAAUAUUCAAGUUCAGUCAUUCUUGAAUUCAAAUUUUUUUUGAAUUUUAAGAUUUAAGCUUUCAAAUUUUUUUAAUUAAAUUAAAUUGUUCGAAAGUUCGAACUUAUUUUGAAAAAGUUUUUUAAUUAUCUCUAAGAUGAACCCUAAUAUAUACGAGAAUCGAAUUCAUUUAUGUAAGGGCUAUAGUCAUUUAAAAUAUCCUUAAAUGAAUUAAUCAUAUGUAUAGAAUUGUGUUCCAUUGAAAAUGGGGGGAGGGUUGGGGGGACAAUGAAUUUGUACAAAUUUUUAAUUAGGAAAUGGAACCUUAAAUGUCAGCAACAUGGAAACAUACCUAAUUAUUUAUUGAAUCUCGUUAAGUGAGGCAUAUAAUUUGUUAAAUUUACAUAUGAAAUGUAUGAUAAAAGCUUGUAUUAAAAUAAUCUAACAAACAUGACCAAUAUAAGAAAAAUAAUAAUAAUUAGGAAGUAACAAUUAUAUGAUUAUUAAAAUAAAUGUCCCAUCUAUAAAUUAUAAAUAUAUUGAUCGAGCUAAUGCCAAAAAAAAAAGUCUGCUCAUUAACUAAUCCCAUAAAAAAAAAUUAAAAACUUUACAUGCUUGAUUGACUUUGUGUAGUGUACAAGUUUAGAUGCAAUAUAUAUCGAUCAAAUUUUAAAUGUUGAUAAGAUUUUUAAAGAUUACAUGUUGUAAUGACUUAGAUAAAUUGUUAAUUAAAUAUUAAUUCAAAUAUCAUGUAUAUUGGUUAAAUUUUUAAAUAUUUGAGUUCAAAAAAAUUAAGUAAAUUAUUAAUUUAAAAUUAUGAAUUUAAAAAAAUUUAAACAAACUGAUCUUUUAUGUGAUUAAAUAAAUAAAAUUAAGGAUUAAAUGUGGCUUAAAAUUUUUAAAAAAUAAUUUAGUAAAAAAUUAUAAUACUAUAUCAAUUUAUUUAGAAUUUAAAACCCAGCAUGAUUUCUUAAAAAAAAAAAAAAAACCAACAUUAUUAACGUCAAAAGCGAAAUUUGUAUUUAUUGGCUAUGUUUUUAUUUUAAAAUGUUGACAUUAUUAAAAAAUAAAUUAUUUAAUAGUUUAUUUAAAUAUUUAAUUCCUAACUGCCCAACUAACCCUCCAACAAACAUACCAACCUUUAUAAAUGCACUUCUUUUCAUUGUUUAAUUUUCACCUAAUUUUAUUAAUCCGUAAUUAAUGAACUUCAAAAAAAUAGAAAUAAUUAUAAAUGCACUUCUUUUCAUUUUUUAAUUUCCACCUAAUUUUAUUAAUCCGUAAUUAAUGAACUUCAAAAAAAUAGAAAUAAUAUUAAUACGACGACAUUACCAUUCAGGAACUCUUUAGCGCAUGUACCUUGAAGCUAAAAGUACCCUCAAAACUUUAUUCCAAUGACAUGAAUACCCCCGAUGUACAGUAAUGUCAGCUACGGAUUCCAAAUUGAAAUUAACUAUAAUUAGAAAAAGAUUUCAAAUCCGACUCGCNNNNNNNNNNNNNNNNNNNNNNNNNNNNNNNNNNNNNNNNNNNNNNNNNNNNNNNNNNNNNNNNNNNNNNNNNNNNNNNNNNNNNNNNNNNNNNNNNNNNNNNNNNNNNNNNNNNNNNNNNNNNNNNNNNNNNNNNNNNNNNNNNNNNNNNNNNNNNNNNNNNNNNNNNNNNNNNNNNNNNNNNNNNNNNNNNNNNNNNNNNNNNNNNNNNNNNNNNNNNNNNNNNNNNNNNNNNNNNNNNNNNNNNNNNNNNNNNNNNNNNNNNNNNNNNNNNNNNNNNNNNNNNNNNNNNNNNNNNNNNNNNNNNNNNNNNNNNNNNNNNNNNNNNNNNNNNNNNNNNNNNNNNNNNNNNNNNNNNNNNNNNNNNNNNNNNNNNNNNNNNNNNNNNNNNNNNNNNNNNNNNNNNNNNNNNNNNNNNNNNNNNNNNNNNNNNNNNNNNNNNNNNNNNNNNNNNNNNNNNNNNNNNNNNNNNNNNNNNNNNNNNNNNNNNNNNNNNNNNNNNNNNNNNNNNNNNNNNNNNNNNNNNNNNNNNNNNNNNNNNNNNNNNNNNNNNNNNNNNNNNNNNNNNNNNNNNNNNNNNNNNNNNNNNNNNNNNNNNNNNNNNNNNNNNNNNNNNNNNNNNNNNNNNNNNNNNNNNNNNNNNNNNNNNNNNNNNNNNNNNNNNNNNNNNNNNNNNNNNNNNNNNNNNNNNNNNNNNNNNNNNNNNNNNNNNNNNNNNNNNNNNNNNNNNNNNNNNNNNNNNNNNNNNNNNNNNNNNNNNNNNNNNNNNNNNNNNNNNNNNNNNNNNNNNNNNNNNNNNNNNNNNNNNNNNNNNNNNNNNNNNNNNNNNNNNNNNNNNNNNNNNNNNNNNNNNNNNNNNNNNNNNNNNNNNNNNNNNNNNNNNNNNNNNNNNNNNNNNNNNNNNNNNNNNNNNNNNNNNNNNNNNNNNNNNNNNNNNNNNNNNNNNNNNNNNNNNNNNNNNNNNNNNNNNNNNNNNNNNNNNNNNNNNNNNNNNNNNNNNCUUUAGCUUCCAUGGCUUCUGCUGUUGUGUUAUUAGUAUUCGGAGUCAAGAGUGUAAGUGAUGUAGACAUUAAAAAAAAGGGGUCUGAUGUUUUUGGCUUGAAUCAAACAGAAAGAGAAAGAGAGACAAAGGAGAGUUCUUUUUUUGUCUUUGGCUUUUGCUUGGUGAUCAAAAGAAUGAGGAUUUUAUAGACAGAUGGUUUUGAAAGAUAUGGAUUUUCAUUUUUUUUUUUUUUACAAGAUAGAAAUUUAAUUUAAUGCUAUUCAAAAUAAAGUUUUGAGAAAACUAUUUAAAAAAAAAAAAAAAAAAGAGACCAAAACAAAACAACCCCUGUGAAAUGCUAAAAGGUACAUGGUUUUGUCUGGUACUUUUCUUUUCCUUUGUUUUUGUGUCUUUUUUUAAUCAAUUCUCAAAUUGUUAUCUCCAAUCUUGUUUUAUCCACUUCCAAAAUCACCAUCUUAUCUUGUUGUGGCUAGGUUUGCAAAGAUGGUCCUUCUUUCAUAUUUGGCAAUAAAACCUCAAAAAAAGCUGACUCCAUGUGAUAGUUUCUGGUAUGCCCAACUUGCUGUUUUAACAAAAUAUAUUGGAUUAGGAUCUGUCAUUAAUGUUUUAAUUAUUUAUGUAAUUAAUUUUACUCUAGAUCAUAUUGCAUGUCUCUUACUUGGGUUUAUUACAUAUUAAUUGAUGUUAUCUACAUUUGUUAGAUUGUAGGAACAAUAAUCAAUGUCCAAAAAUCUAGCAAAAUUGACAACUUUUUUUUUUUUAUAAUAACAAAUAUCUAUAAGCACAUGACAUAUUAUAGUUAUAUAUUAUACAUAUAUUCCUAUAUUUAGUGAUGAACUAAAUGAUCAAUCUCUUUCUUGUUUCCAAAGCAUUUCUUCUUUUGAUAUGCAAGAAUAAUUAAUUUUUACCUAACAUGUUCAAGUUAAUUUCUCUUUGCUUUCCCAUGUGUUAUAUUCAAUCUUCAAACUAUAUAUUCAUCCAAAAAUGUAACAUUUAUAAUCAAAUGUUAUUAUUCCAUGUAUAUAUAUAUAUAUAUAUAUGUGGUGUUAGACAUUCUCCUUCACCACUUAAAAUGGCAAAAAAUUUUCUUGAGUUUUGUUACAAAGCAAAAAUGAUCAAAACAAAAUUUUCUUAGCAUCCAAUCACAUGAAGGCCUUUCUUCUCGGAUUUGAGCUAGAGGUAAAUAAACAAAAUAAAAAAGAAGAAAGCUUAAAACGAGUGAAUGGAAAAACCAAUCAAAACCGCGUGACUAACCAAAGAUGUGUUUUUUCUGAUAUGAUUCUGGUUGAAGAUCUCAGUAAUCCAUCCCCUUCACAAUUGCAUGCAAUGCAAGAAAAAUCUGAAAUAGUACGGACCCGCCGUCCUCAAGACAGUGACAAUCCUGACCAAUAAUGACCUGCCACGUAAGUAAUUGGCCCCACCUUCCCUCCCUUCCUUUUUCCUUUUGUAAGCCUUGAUCUAGUACUCUGGAUCUUAGGCCACGCAUAUAUAGUGUGAUGAAGAUUUUAUAUGUAGGUAAAGAAGAAUCUCCAAAAAAGGGCAUUGGUUGGUGGUCCCUAUCAAUGACACGUAGCAAGUGGGGCCCACCUGGUGAUGUGGCUAUUGGCUGAUGGGGUUGGAGGGAGAGACUUGGCACGUGUGAAGGUGGUGGUAACAUCUGUGAAAGCCUGAAAGGUUUGCUUUUUGAUUUUUUUUAAUCUGUAUUGGGGUUUAAACAAAGAAAAGGGUUUGCUGGGUUUGGGCAGACAUGGAAGAAUUCUUGGGAUUUGGGAAGCAGAUUGUGCUCUGCAUGGAAUAAUUGGGGAUUUGGGCAAUAUGUGUUUAAGUGACCUAAUGGCGUAGUUUUUGAUAUAGAUAUAUUACAGACUAGGACCCUAACCAUGGGACUCGUUUUUGCAUGAGAAUGGGGACCAUAUAACAGAUUUGCCUCUUUAGCACUUUAAUAACUAUAAACAAUAUUUAUUUGUUUUCCCUAAUAAUUAGGCAUUUAGAGGCCUUAUAAUCUAUCCACAAUGUGAGCUAAGAGAGAAAAGAAUCGAAAAAAUUAAAAAUCAAUUUAAAAUAGUAAUAUUUGAUUUGAUUUGAAUAGGAUUUUUUUAUAAUUUGAUUUGGAUUAAAAUAAAAAAUGUAUAUAUUAAGUUUCGAUCGAAUUUUGAUUUAAGAUAUAAAAAAUUGAAAAAAAUGAAUUAAAUUGAAUUAUAUAUUUUUAUUAAUUUUUAUAUAUAUCUUAAAUUAUUAUAAUAUAAAAAUAAAAAUUUUAUAUAAAAAUUUAUUUAAAUAUAUUAAAAAUUUAUUUAAAUAAUAUAUAAAAAAAUAAAAUUUAAAAAUCGAUGAAUUGUAUCAAAUUGAUAAAUUUUAAUUUAGAUUAGAUUGAUUUUAAAAAAAAAGUUUGUUUUGAUUCGAAUUGAAUUUUAAAAAUUCAUAAUAUUAUUAUGUAUUAUAAAAAAAAUCAAAUCAAAUUCAAUUUGAUCCAAGUUGUUCUCAUUGCACCACACUAUCCAUCCAAACACAACGAGUGAAUGAUAUGAUAAUUUUCAAAUUAUAAAAGGUUUGUUAUUAUAAUCAAAAGCAUCAUAUAUUGGAGAUAAUCAGAUAAAACAAGAAUGUUUUUAAAUUUAAUUUCAAGAACGAAAGAAUAAGAUUUAAUGAGAUAGAAAAAAGUUACAUUUCAUUGGUUAACCUUUCAAAAAAACCUUUCAAAACAGAUACACAAAGAGAGUUAUCUAUAUGCACAAUGUAUUUAAAGUAUAAUUUAGAAAAAGCAUACCAGAGUCAUUGCUAAUGGAAUGUGAUUAAAAAAGUUGCCAUUAUCACGACUCAGGGUCAAACACAGAUAGGAGUUGUUCGGAUUUCAAUAUCUUUUUCAUCCAUAUAUAUAUAAUCAUGGUGUUUGGUAAAAGGAUUCCUGGUCUCCAUUUUUGGGUUCUUUUCUCUUUUACUUCUUCUUCCCUCUUUUUUUGGCAGCUUCUUUUCCAAAAUCAAACUAUGACUCUAUAUACCAAAACACUUUGAAACAUAUCAUGAUCACAAUCAUGAUCUAGUAUGCCAAUGUCCCAUGGUAGAAAAUCAAUCACGCAUAAACAAUACUACAAUACUAUAUCAUUAUUAUCAUUCUCGUAAUCAUUGCUAAUGAAACUUUUAAAUUAGAGGUAUUGCUUUUAAAAUAAAAUGAAAUUUGUGUAAUAAUCUCAAAAGAGAUUUGUGAUAAAUGAGAGAGUAGGUAACCAUUUGGUUACAUCCCCAAAGGUAUACAUCUUGAAGAUUGCUAUAAGGAACCAAAGGUUAGAGUAACUGUUGGUCCUGGCUUUAUGCAACUUGUGAAACAUAUUACUCUUUCAAGUUUAAAAAAAAGGGUAAAUAUAUAUACAAUAAUUACUCUGAUCUCAAUCUGAACUGAGAUUUUGCUUUCAGGCCUGUUUUCUUUCUCUCUAUGUUUACCCUUUUCCAACUUUUUUAUUACUAGUUUCCCAACAUAGAUAGUACCUUUGUCUUUGGUUAUUUAAGAUUUUAUGGAGGGACAGGAUCUCUCAACAGGUUGGUUCAGAGCAUUGGGAUGGGUUAAUCUGAACCAUCCAAAAGAGGACAAAAAGUCUGGGGGAUGAAAUAUUUGGGUUUCUCUAGCAUUUAUAUACAUUUUGUGUAAACUGAUGGAUGGGAAAUUUAAAAGGCUGUCACUUUCAGCUGUUAGUUGUGUUGUAUUUGGUAGUACUGCAUAUAUGAAAAAAAACAGUACUGUAAAACAAAGACAUGGAAAGUAGGUGGUGUCUGUAACAUGUUUUUGGGCUAUAUCAAAUUUCUGCCCACUUUUUUCUUUGCUAUUUUGUUCAUUUUCUUUUAGUUUUGUAUAAUUAUUUACUUCUAAUUUGAAAUUUCAAUUAUUGUUUCCUAUAUUGAUUUGUAUAUUUCACAUGUUAUUUCGCGAAAUGAGAGAUUUAAGCAUAAAAAAUCAUGCACUUACCAUUGAAUUAAAUACUCGGAUGUAAAAUUAAUUUUUAAUUAUGCGACAGGUUUGUGAUUAGCAUUGGAUCAGCUCAAAAGUUAAUAUCUAAUUGUUAGUUUAGUGUAUUAAUGCUUUAACGUCAAUUCCUUGAAUUUGGGGUUCGGUAGUAUGAAAAGAGGAUGUUGCGGCUCAAUUUCAAAGCAGAUUCUGUAGUUUUUUUUUUUUUUUAAAUCUAAGAAAGCAUAUUCCUUAUGCAUUUUUACCAUAUGCUUUUCUCAGAGAAAAUCGCUAUUCUAUGUCAAACCGUGGAACCUGAUCACCGACAUCAGAACAAACAAUUGCUCCUGCUUUUGUUUCACUGCAAGAAUCAAUUUGGAAGGAAAUAUGUUACCCAACUGUUUUGUUUUUCUUUUUGCUCUCUUAAGCUGAAGAUAAAAAUGUUACAAAUUUUCACCCUUCACUUAUUACUUGCAAAAUUUAAAAUUCAGGUGUAAUAGAGUCGAGUUUAAUUGAUUUAUUAUCGUACCGAAUUUGAUUCGAUCAGAAAACUCGAUGUACAUUCAAAAAUGAGAUUAUGAUAUAAUUAAAUUUUUAAGAGAAUUAAUAAUUUAUUCUUACAAUUAUUUGUCAAUUAUUUUUUUUUUAUAAAGGAGAGUCUUUUGUAAAUAAGCCCCUUAAAUAGCAAUUGCAUAAACAUAGAUUCCUUUUAUGCUUACUACCAGCAAAAUAAAGGGUUGUUUCCACAACAUUAUGUAUUAGAUUAAAAUAAUAGCUAUAUUAUUAUAAGCUAGAUUUUGCCUAAUUAUAAGGUUACGAACAGAACAAAGGGGGCCUAAAAUCUCAAAAAAAAAAAAAGCCUCCCAAAAUUUUUUCUUUUAUCCAUCAUAUUUCAAUUUUAAAUUCUAGCACUUGUAAUUUUUUUCUUUAUUCCCAGGUUACGAUCCUUUUCAUAUAAAAAAGAAAAUAUCUUUGGUUGUUGUAAAUCAUCCAUCAAAAAGUAAAGUUAUGUUCAGGCUUCUUUCAUCAAAUUUUGGAUUUUUACUAGCCGUGUAUAUAUCAAUCUCAAUUCCCAUCAAGUAAAUAACCAAAAAUAGAUUGUUUAUCCCAAUCAUAUAUCAGAGCAAGUUAGUCCAAUCAGAGAUAGAAGUUAUCAAAGAGCUUUAAAAACUUGUUUGAUAACUCUUUUUAUGAUCAAAGCAACUAAAUGUUAACAGCUUUUGUAAACCAAGACAUCAAUACAUGCCAGAAUCUGGUAAAUAAUGCUAUCGAGCUGUGCUUAAAUUAUAAAAUUGUAUAGAUAUUUGUACAAUUGCCAUUUUCUUGUGAUAUGAAGAACAUAUUGAAAAAAUUGCUCCAAUGCCUGAUUUGUCUGAUAAGUAUACAAUACAAAUAAAAAAUCUCUUCAGAUAGACAAAACUGCAAAAUGGAUGGAAAAUUUUGGAGACAUCCCUGAUUUUAUAAGCAAAAAAAAUGGAAUCUGAUACUUCUGCUCUGGCUUAUGUAUCAUAGUUUCAGUAGGGGAAAGGAUUUCGAUUUUUGAGUAUGAUUCCUUUCUAGUAAUCCUUCCAUGAUAACCUUCUUCUUGUGAAGCUCUGUAUCAAUCUCAGGAAAAUGAUGAUCAACUGUAAUAUUUUCUGAUGGAACAGGUUUAAAUUUACUCCAUCGACAUGCGAAGAAGAGCCAGGUUGAAGUACAAAAAAUGGCACAAACCUUACCCCAAAUGACCAAAACCAGUAGGCUAAUAAGAAACAAACAUAUACCAACAUUAAAGCCAUUGCCAUUUCCAACCUUUCCUUGCUUAUUGUUUUCCAUGGUUUCGGAUAAUGAAAGCCUUGAAUUCGAAGAAACUGAUGAGGAUGAACACCUUGAUGUUGUUGCUGUUGUUGAUGUUGAAUUCAUCGUAGAAGUUGUACAUAAACAAGGUGAAAAUGCAGAACUAGAAGUACUUCUUUUUGAGUGAUUAUCCUCAUUCAUUGAUGGACUGUCAUUUGUUGAUUUUGAUAUGGGUUUGGAAUAUUUUAAAUUGGUGUAAUUCCGGUUGAGCUUUUGUCCCAAUUUUUUGCUUCGCAUUUUCUUCAUCUGUCAAUUGGAAAAUAGUAUAGACCAAUAAUCAGUUUCAUAUUCAUGAAGUUAAUUGAAAAAUUAACUAAUGAAACAAUUAAAAAUCUAUUCGACCAUUAUCGACUUAAAAACAAAUUAUUUUAAAAAAAGAAAAGUAAAAAAUUUGACUAUGAUUUUGGAAUAAGUGAAGCACAUGUUGAAUUUCCAAGAACCAGAAAUGAUUAGACAUGAAAAAAUUUACACGAAAUUUCAUAUUUCGUAAAAUUUGUUAUAUAUAUAUAUAGUAUCACAAAUAACUGUAAAAUUUUUUUUGUUUAUAUGAAGGAAAAUAAAGAAAAAAAGGGUUUGAAAGUUAGAGUUUUGGACUUAAUUAAUACUUCAAUAAAAAAUAACAAUAGCUAAGCCAAUCCUGAACGACUAAAAUAAAUUUAAAUGCCUGGUUUAUGAGUAAUAUAAGCUUGAAGUAAAAAUUUGUUUAAAUAUCUUUUUAUUUUAGUAUUGAUUAUCAAAAUAACAAAAAGAAAUAAAGAGAAAAAAUAUAUUAUUCUUAAUAAAAAAAAAUGACAUAGAAAAGGGGGGGGGGGGGAGAAAAAAAGGAAAUAACUAACCAGGGAAGUUUCAAAGAAGAGGGCUUUGACAUAGCGGGAGAAACUGCGACGACCAUGUUUGUUUUUCCGACCACAAGAGCCCAUAACAUCAUUGUCUUUGUCGUCCGGACUCAUCAUGUUCGCCAUCGGAGAAAGAACCGGUUUAACUUCCUCCUCCGACGGCGACUCUCCUUCUUCUCCAACCACCAAACCGUUUUCAAAAACAACUGAAUCAAAACACAUGCAAAAACUACUACUUCUCUUCUUAAUGCUCGCUAGUUUUUUCAUUUCCUUUUUUUUACAAACGGUGUUUAAGUUCAUGCAAUGGUUUUUAGCCAAAAAAAAAAAAAAAGGGUUAGUUUCUAAAUGGAUACGGCAAAGAUUUAGGAGAAAAAUGUUUGGUUGGCGAGAGAGUUUCGGAAAACCAGAGAAAACGAGGGAAGAGUUGGUUUUUUUUAAUGGGUUUUUAAUGGGGGGUCGGGUUUUAAUGGGAGAGAGACUGACGAUUUUCCUUCUUUAUACUCCGUUAAGAAGGGGAACAAACAUGUUAUUUUUGAAGUGUGUUAUUAUUACAAUAAAAGAAAAUGUGUCAGUAAGCCUAAUAUAUAUAUAUAUAUAUUAUGUUUGAGAUUAUAUGAGAUUGAAUUUUUGUCAUUGAAAGUAAGAGUCAAUUAAUUUAUAAUUAAUUGUUAUAAUUCAUAUUUUUUUAAUUAUAUAUAAUUAUUUUAAUUACAAACUUGUUAUUAAAAUAAAGGAAAAUUUGUUAUUAAGUCUAAUUAUUUUAAUUAUAUAUAUUUACAUAUUUAUAUAUAUGAAACCCUAAUUGUGGGUGUAGAAGCUGAAAAAUAGAAAUGAAGAAAAAACAUAAUGUAAAUAAAAAAUAUGUAAUUUAGUACUAGCAUUUUCCCUUUUAAAUAUAUAUAAAAUUGUUCAUUAUGUUGGCCUUUGAUAAAGAAUAGUUCAAACGUAACGAGGCGUUAACCUUACGGUAGACGCGUUAUCAGCCGUCCAAUGAGGGAACAGGAAAAAAAAGUUUUUAUAUAAAAAUAAUUUAAAUCAACGGCUCUCAUUUAUUAUUUGACCUAAUGGACUGACUUUGACUUGGACUUGUUAAAUAAUGACCUAAAAUGACUUUAAAUUGUUCUUUAAGACAGCUUUCAAAGAAUGGAAACGUUUGAUUUGGGUUAAAAAAGAAAAAAACGACAAGGAUUGAUUAUUUGAUUAAUUAAGAUUUAAGAAUAAGCUUGGAAACCAAUCAAUGCUAGACAAGGUAUCAAUUAAUAAUUCGAGACUUGUCGUAAUUACAAACCUUUGAAUGUGCCAAUGUUAUUGAAGCCACUUCUAAAGAAGGCCUAACCUUUGAUUUCAGCUAUUAAUCCUCUCAAAAAAGUAUAAGUAACCCAUGUCCUUGGGUGGAUUGAUAGAAGCCCCGACCUUAUCAUCAUUGAAAAUGACCCAUCUACCAUCUUUGAGAAUAUGAGCAACAUAGUGGCCACACUGAGUAGAGGUUCCAAUAUGACUUACUAUUCCAAAAAGCCGAUAUCCUGCAUUAAGAAAACAUUACAAUGGGGUUUAGGUCAGAUGACCAUUAUGCAUGACUAUGAAACAAAUAAACAGAAUAACCGAGACUCGAGAGACUCACUCCCUCCUCCGUCAGGUAAUCCUGCGUCAACUGGAGUAGGCGUGCUGUUGCUUGAUUUCGUAGUAUCCAUAUCUGAUGAAGCCGAGGCAUUGGGAUUAUUAAAUAUCCAAUCGGUUGCUUUUUCAAUGUCGCCACCCUGUAAAAAUGUACAUGCCCCACGAUUGUGAGUUUCCAACAGAUAAGGAAACUGCUUUCUGAAUCCUCAAAAGAAAUGAAAUGCUGUAAAGACUUUACCGAUGCUUUCAAUGCCAUUCGAGCAAUUUCUUCGUGAAAACCAAAUGAAAUCAAAGUAUCGACUGUUGAUUGGUCAAUAGAUGCCUCAGCACCUUGUGCCCCAUAGGAGACAGGAGCAUCUAUAUCUGAAAAGAUACAUUAAUGAGCAUCAUUUGAUAUGGUAUCAUGUGUCUAUGUCACAGCUCUAAAAGGCAGAUAACUUGCAGAAAAAUUCAAGAUUAUACUUAUAAUGCUAAAUUCUGAAUACCUGAAUCAUCCAUGUGCGAAAGCAACCAGUUCAUUGCCUCUUCUAAACCGGCAUUUAAAGUAUUUAUGGCAGCUUUCUGACAAUAAAGCUGGUUAAACCCCAUCGAGACAAGCUGGGCAACAAUUUCUUCAUCGGCCACAGGCUGGCUUGAUUCUGCCCUUCCCUCAGGAGCUAUGCAGUACAAAUAACAGGUUCCAAGAGAAAAUUUUACAAAAUCAAUAAUUCUCCUCUUUUAUAUCAUCGACGUCUCAAUCAACAUUAUCAUUACCAUUAAUGGAAUCUAUUAAUUCACAUACCAGCCUCUGGCAAGAGUUCCUCUCCAGGUUGAAGGCCUUUGCUGCGCAUAUGGCUUAUAUCUAUGAUGUCAGGAACAUCUAUGUAGACAUCUGGAUGGACAAUAUACAUAAUGAAUAUCAACUUGAAAGAAACAGGCAAUGUGCUACAUAGUAACAAAGUCAUGAAAGUACCAAGCUUUUUAGGCACCCAGCCUGCCUCCAUGACAAACUUCCUCAUAUGCAAUACCAAAUAAUCAGGGAAUGAAGUUAAACCAGCAGUCCUGUAGUGUAAAAUACAAAGGAGAAAAAUAAGCCUCUGAACACACUAAGAUAUUAAUAAAAGAAUACUCUAGGACUGCCAGUCUACAACCUUGACAAAAACACCAUCAGUAAACUAUAUUCUCCUUUUUUUUUUAUUGGAAACUAUAUGCUUAUAUGAACCUUGUAAAAUAAUACACAUUUACUAAGGGAUAACCAACCCUUUGCAAGAACACAAAUCUUACUUGAUAGCUGUCGUCUUGGCCUUCAAUGCAGUGCUAUAAAAUUCAUGUAUCUCCUCUGGAGCUGCAAAGUUUGCUAAGCAUGCUUCUAGAGGUACCCUUGGACGUAAAAUUUCAUCAUUGGAUCUGUAAAACAAGGCAUCCUAAGGAAAAGGUCUACAUAAGGCUAAAAGUAUCAUAUAAGACCACUGGAACUUACACAUCCUUCCCUUCUGAAAUCUUUUCAGCUUUGAUUUUAUGAAAAGCUUCCAGCUCUUCUGAAUUCACGAAGAGUAAAUCAUUAGAAAGUUAACUUUUUGAAAACAUGAAUAUAGAUAUAAAUGAAAUACACAAUCUAACAUGCAUAAAUAUACAUGUAUAAAAUCAAAACUUACCUUUAUUAGUAGCUUCGUGCAGUGGAAUAUUCAAAGAAAGAAUGUAGUCAAGCCUUUUAUUAUAAGUAACCUUUCCAGAUGAACACAAGAUACGCUCCUCAACACCAAACUUGAAACUCCUUGAGGGAUCCACUUCAGGUUUCACAGCAUUUGAACGUUCAACUUGGUCAAGAAAAUGAAGGAAGAAUUCCAAUGCAUCCUACAGAAUAAUUCAAGUGUCCACAUGAGACAAUGAUGGCUACAUGGAGAGAACUUCAUGCCCCCCAAGACUCAUCCAAUGUUGUGCAAUGUUAGAAUUAACAUGCAGAAGCCCAGAUUGCAAUGCUGUAUAUGGUCAGUUAGUUACAUUGCUAUAUCUAAAACUAGAACUCUAAGUCAAACUAACAUUGCUAUAUCUAAAACUAGAACUCCAAGUCAAACUAUGGAAACUAAAAGAACCAUUUUCAUGUGAACUGGAAAGGUGGAAAAAUAAAGUUAAUGAUAGAAACCAAAUGAUAAUUUCAUAGUAGAAGUAGUAAAAUCAGCAUACUUGUUGUCUCAUAGUAGAAAACUCAGGAUGGCUGGCUGCAAUAACUGCUUUGAACAUGCGAGGGGGGAUCCCUUCCUGUUUCUAAUAUUUUCAAAAGGUUGACAAAUGAAAAGAGAAAAGCGAAGUUAAGAGGCAACUGUCAAGAUCAUAAAAAUAUAUAGAUAGAUAUAUGAGAAAUAUUGAUUACACAAAUUCUAUCUGCAAGCAUCUCAUUCAAGUCAACAUAGAAUCUAUAAACAGAUAAUAACAUCACCGAUAGAUUUCAUGCAAACACUUGUGAUUAAGCAUAUCUAAGUUGCAUAGCACAAAUUUUAUUACUAAAACUAUGGCCAAUCAGAAACUUGCAGGUUGCAAAUAUAAUCACAAUAUAGUUAGAAACUCAAGUGACAUAAUCUAAGAAUCUCCAAGAUCAGACCAAACUCAGCAUAGAUAUUUAGUGGGAAGCUUACAGCAUCUGUUGUUGCGGGUGCAGCAGUUCCAUCCUUCUGCAUGACCAAAAAGUUAAUUGAUUAAUUCAUUAAUCAGGAAAAAAUCCAACUGUGUUAAGGCAAAUAGAUUGAAAUGAUUGCUAUACCUCUAAUGCUGGUACAGAAUAUUUACCAGAGAGCAAACCAUGUGCUAGUUUUGUUCUGCCAUACAACCAGGAAGUGGUUACAUAUCAUUGGAUUAGAAGUAGCAAGAGGAAAUGAAUAUUAUACUACUUAUCAAAUACACAGCAGAAUAAAACAGGCAAUGAAAUACCAAAUCAAUUAACAUAAAGGACCACCAAGUAAUCUUUGGCAAGAAAUACAGCAAUAAUCAUUACUACCAACAUUAAGGAAACUAUUUAAACACAUAAUAUAUUGAAAUUUAGGAAUUAAUAACCACAAGAAUGGUAACUUACAACUGCAUAUUCAGGUCUACAGUUGGAUCAGCUGGGGCUGUCUCAAAAGCCAUUUUUAAGCUUUGGUUCAUAUAGUAUCUGAUUGCAUAGUCAAAGUAGAAAAGGCAAAAAAAAAUAAGCAUAGUAAAUUCCAAAUAUAAGUGGAUUUACUAAAUUAGUUAAAUGUAUGAACAUUAUAAUUUACCUUCUACAAAACAAAUGUGUUGAAAACACCACUUGCAUGGUUGCUGCCAUGUAGCAGCUACAUGAAAAAAAAAAUUAGGUAAUCAGAAACAUCAAAACACUAAAUUGUGAUUGGUAGCCCUGCAUCACAAUCAACAUUACCUGUUUCCAAGAUUCACAAGACCUGUAUAACCUGGUCCAAAAAUUGGUUCCACAUCCUGUCCGCUUUCUUGAAUUCUAUUCCAAUCAAAGUUGGUAUUCUGGUCAAGCUCCCUUUCAGCAGUUGUCAUUUCAGUCUGGAAACAAGGAAAUUAUUUUAAUUUCUAACUAGACAUUAAAUCAUUUAUAAACACAACAAUAUUUUUUUAUCUUUUUUUCUGGUAAGCUUUGAAACUUACAUGCUAAAGUAACCAUAUCACUCCUUUACCACUGAAGCUAAUGCCCAUCAAAUUUAUACACAUUAUAGUUCUAGUCAAAAAGGUAAAAUUCAUUUAUGGAAACUCCAACCACGACAAAAGUUAAAGACAUUAAGGCUAACACAGUUCGUUUUUAGCAAAAGUUAUCAUUCUAAAAGCAAUAAUUACAUGAAAAGGUUUAGAUAUAUCAAAGUAUCAUCAAGGGGAUUCUUUGAAAAGGGAUUGUGCAUCAAACUUAGGGAUUCCAGACAACUGCCUGAAUGGUAAGAGAAAAAUGAAAUUGCCAUGGAUAAUAAAUAAAAAAAGUAGAAUAGAAAUUUAAUUACAUAACAAAAUUGCAUAUUGCAACUACACUAUCAUGACGCUACAUGCAUCUUAAGGAGUUUAAACAAGCAGUAGGCAGCAAAUUAUUAAUCAACAAGGAAAAGCUAACCUUUUGCAAUGAUGAGAAAUUCAAUACCAAAAUAUGCCAAAGUUGUGCUAGAAAGUGGGUCUAAAACACUAUCAUCCUCUGGGUAGGAGGAAAACAUCUUGCAGCUGCACAAUAAGUUACCAUGGUUAAGUUCUUGACAAAAUGUCCCACCAAUGCUCAAAAGACAAGAUAAUUAUCAAAGUGCAUUUUCAGUGCCAAAAACCACAGUUUAAAACAAAAAUUAUGUAGGGUUGAGUUCUCAUGUAUAACAGAGAGCAGAAAUAGUUCAUACCAAUCAUGGAUCAAUAAGAACUUACUAAAACGACACCAGAAACAAACACAAAUUGACAGAGAAAUACAAGGAAACAUUACCUGCUGCUUCCAGAUCAGCAGUAAUGGUCCCAAGCUUUACAGCAAGAGGAUAGCCAGUCUCCUUGUAAUGAUCAAUGGCAUGGUUGUUACCACCAGUUCCAUCCCAAUUUCUCCUCCCACACAGGAUCAUUCCAUCAGUAAGAUUUAACCAGAGAUUUUCUGUUUUAUCGCACUUAGCACAUUUCCAACCAGCUGGAGGAACAACAACACUGCCAAUUUGCCGUAAAUCCAUUGCAUAUGCACUUAUUUGCUUCUUAUCAGCCGUCCAGGCUGCAACUUGCUCUUUACGCUCAGCGCCUUCUGCCAUUAAAAUAGAAUCGACUGCCAACCUUACCUACAGUGUUUGUAUGGAGUAACCAAGCCAGGUUCUUGUCCAAGAUGAGGAAUUUGAUCUUUUAAAUUAAAAUUCUAAGAAAUAAAAAAUGAGACAAGCAAUACCUUCUCUGGCAACUCCACAGAUGGAAAUGGAAGAGCUACAUAAUCAGGCAAAAUGACUAUAUUGUGGGUUUCUUCAUAUUCUGCGUUCAUUGUUGUCAAAUCCACCAUCGGAUACCUAUAAAUCAAAUUGCACAGAAUUAAUCUCUUUCACCCUAACAGAUGGUACUAAGAAAAUUGUGAACUUUUAUCAAUUUGAAGUUCUCGCAUGGGUUCCACAUUGCAGAGUCCUACAGGCAUCAAACAUGCAACAGCUGUAAACAUGCUAGCACACAGAUAAAUUAGUUCAACUUUUUCAUUAAACAGUUGCAAGCACCAUUUAUACUCCCAACUCAUUAUCAAAGAAAUAAAACAUACUGGCCUGGGGAGUGCAUUGCCAAAUGGUCUCAACCUAUGAUGAAUAUGAGUUUGACAUGGGUAUUUUCAUCGUUUUCCAUUAUAUUUUGAGCCCCGGGACAUCAAACCAAAUGUCUAUACUUUGAGGUGUCAGAUAUCCAACAUGACUACUUCAGGAAAAACUAAGUGGAACACAAACAGGCACUACUCUCAAUUCCUUAAAAGUCACUUCUUCACACAAGAACCAGAACAGGAUAACACAAUGUAUAACAAUGCAACAACAAAUUAACCACACCAUAACCGGUAUAAAAAGAAGGAUAAUAAUAUCGUAAAAGUACCAAUAGCCAAAAGUGUGGGUUUCUUCAAAGGCCUAUCUUCCGGUACCAACUUUUUCGUUUGCUUAAUAUGCAAAUAAACUGGAUUUCCAGUCUUCUCAUAGUUCCAAACGACAUAGUCUUUACCAAAAGCUAGAAACGUAUUCAUAUCAACAAACAAUCCUCCUUCUGAUCUCUGCAAAAAUUUAACCUCAUUUGAGAGUUCUUAGUAAUUUAAACAAACAAAACCUAAACAGCUUAAUAAAAGAAGGGACAAACUUUAGUAAAAGAAUUAAACGUUACUAAACUCCGUCGGCAGCCAAACUAAAAAAUGCGAUUAAAAAAUAGCGAAAAUUUCCAAUAAACAUUCUCGAAAGCCAAACAAUAAAGUGAAAACACAUAGCCUAUCAAGUUAAUGUUUUUAGUUAAAACUAGUCACCAGCAAUCCAGUAAUUUCUCCAGAAACAGACGGAUAAUUUCGAAAAAAAUCUUGAAAAGAAAAAGGUACCGGAGAAUCGAACGAGAGGCAGCAUUCUUGCUUGUAGAUACGAUUGGUGGGUUCGGGGAUCCGAACCCGAGAGAGAUUGGAUCGGAGCAGAUCCAAAGGGUUUAUCCCCUCCAUGUUUGUUUUGGUUUGGUUUUUUUGAGAGUGAAAGAGAGGAAAAGAACAAGAUUUUUGCCCUAAAGCUUAAGCAAAUGCAAAGACUUUUUUUUUUCUUCUUUUGCGCCCAAAGAUUGCUUUUUUUUUUUCUUUAAUUGAAAGAAAGGAACAAAAGUUGAGUGUGCUUUUGAAACAAGUCCUAUCUGAAUCAACUUCAAACCUCUUUGGACAAGAAAAAAAAAAAAGGGUUUUCAUUUCUUUUUCCUUUUUCUUUUGAUUUUUAAAAAAUAAAAAAUUUUAAAUCUCUAUUGUAAAAGUUUUGAGCCAAAAUCUCAACAAAAUUAUUUAUAGUGUAUGAUUUUUCUUGAGAUUUUUUUAAGGACAUUAAAUUAAUUACAAGUCAUGAGUAAUUAUUUUAAUAUGUAUUCAUAGUAAAUGGUUGGAAAUUUAAUAGUUUAUUCAAAUUAACACUAUCAAGCUACCGUUGCAUAUUUUUAAGAUUAUCAUGAUAAUGUAAUCAAUAAAAGUGAUUAUAUUACAAAAUAAUUUUAUCACUUAUGAUUUAAAAUUAUUUAUUAUUUAAGAAUUAUUAAUUCAUAUGAAUUAAAUAUUAUAUGUUGAUAUUAAUAAAAAUUAAAUAUUAUUUUAUUUAAAAGUACGUAAAAUAAACAUUUUUAUUAUAAUAAUUAAACAAAUUAAUGAUUUAAAUAUUGUUUAAAGAUAUUACAACAAUAACAUAUUAAAUUUUAUAUCCCAUACUCUUUGAGUUAUAUAAAAUACCAAAUAAGAUAAUCGAGUUGGUUGUAAUUUAAAUAUUUUUGCACCAUUCAUUUUUAUAAAUAACAACUUUUUUAUUUAAUUUCUUAACUAUCAUAUUGUUUUUUAGUAUUUGCUUUCAUGUUUUUCGUGAUUUAUAUUUAGAAUAUUUUAUUUAUUUUAUAAUCAAUAUAAUUAAAAUUAUUAAAUAUGUUUAUUUAUUAAGAAACUAAUUUUUAUAGUAUAAAUUAUACAAAAAAAUAUUUGAAUUAAAAUAUAUAUCUAUUAAAAUUAUAAUAAAAAAUAAAGACGUUAUAUUAUAUAUAAAAUAUCAAAAAAAUACAAAUUAUUUUUGAAUUUAUUAUAAUGAAGAUUAAUUUUAAACUAUAAAAAUUUAUAAUAUAAAAUAAUUACAAUUUUAAGAGAAAUCAAAAUUUUAAUUCAUAUAUUAAAUAGAUAAUAUUGAUUAUUAUUAAUUUUUAAAAUAAUCACCACAUACUAAAUGCUACCAAAAAAAAAAAAAUUUUCUGGUUUGUGAGGAAAAAGUAUUCUCUCAAUUAUUAGUUGGAAAAACAAAUAACUGGCAGUGAAUAAGAGAUAAAAAGGGAUCAUAAAUGAAAUAUAUCUUUUAUUUAUAAAAUUAUGCUACAACUUUUUAUAUAAAAAAAUUAUAAUAUCAAUUUUAUUUCAAAAAUACAUAUUUUUUGAAAUAAAAAAAAUUUAAAAUAAUUAAAAACAAAAAAUAAUUAAAAUUAAAACAUUAACAGUUUUUUCAUCUCAUUCUUAAAAUUAAAAAAUUACAUUAUUAGUAAAUAAAAAAACUCUGUGUAAAUGGGUUUGGAGAAAGUUUGAUGCAAGUUUUCUAUUGGAAUAACAUUGACUUCCUCUUGUACUUUUUCAUUCCUUGUCCUUAUCUUCUUGUUCUUGGUAAAAAAAAAUAUUCACUUCCAUUAGACAAAGGAAGAAGUUAAUAUAGGCUGUAUGCAUAUAAUAUUAUUGUUUUGGUUUUUGCAUAAUUGGCAAUAGUUUAGGGUCCCAUGAAAUGAUGUACACCUAACAGCAAAUAAUGCUGCAUUGAAACUCCAGCAAUUCCUUAUUCAACUUGUUUUAUAUGGGAAAAGAAUAUUGGAUAUAUGUCAAUUUGAACAAUAUAACUUCAAUCUUAACCUUGAGAAUUUGUUCAACGAAAUGACAAAAAGAGAAAUAAGCAUGCUAAUUCAACAAAAAUCUUCUACAAAAUAAUAUAUAAAUUCAGAUUCACAUAGAUGUUACAAAAUGCAAUCCCCUAGUCAAAUCUGAACCAUUAAAAGACUUUCAAUUCUAACCUUUUUUUUCAAACAUUAACUUGUUUCAAAUAUUACACACCUUCCAUUGACAUUUAAUUCCAUUAGGAACAUCAAACAUCAACAUUGUUGCUGCAGUAACUAUCUCUUGCAAUAUUCUUCAGUCACUGCUGCCAUUGUUGUUGACAUUAUGUCGUCGAUGAAUUCAAGGGAGUUGAGGCUAGAAGAAGGUGUCGAAUAGAAGUGACCUGAAGUUAAAUGCAAAUUUGGGAUGUUUUCAGAAAAAAAAGUUUGGUUUUGACCAGCCAAAGAGUUGAUAUUGGAUUGAUUAAAUUCAUGGUAGCCAUAGUUUUGCAUGGGAAAAAAUCCCUUUGAAUUACUGACAUUAAUAUUCUCUCUGUCAUAUUCUUGCCACAAGUUAGGUAGAGUACUAUUUUGGCAAGUUAGGCUGGUGGGGUUUGUAGAAAAAUGGUUCAAAUUGGCUUGCAAAAUUUGGGUGCAAGCUUGAAUUGGAUUCUGAACCUGAUUUCCCUGGUAGAAUUCAAAUUGGUUUUGGCAUUGGAAAUUCCCUGUCUGGUUUUGUUGAACAUUUCCAGGAGUAGUACCAAUUUCCAGGUUCUUGUUCUGGGAUGACAUAAGGGCUGUGGCUAAGUUCAGACAGUUUGGGUUGAACAUUGAUCCAAUUCCAAGCAAACCUGUUGGAUUAAGCUGAGAAGAAUUGUAGAGAGAUGAGCUCAGAAGUGAGGAGAGUUCAAGAAGAUCAAGACGAGGACUAUGAGUUACAGGAUCAAUUCCCAUUCUCAAUAAUUUCUUCUUGAUGUGAGUGUUCCAAUAGUUUUUGAUCUCAUUAUCUGUCCUUCCAGGCAACCGAGUAGCAAUAGCAGACCACCUAAGUUUACAGCAAAAAAGAAAAAAAGAGUAAAUCAGACAGUACUAAACAAACAUGUUCGAUGAAAUUGCAGUAGUUUGUCUUUUGUUUCUUACAAAAAAGAAAGCAUGUCUGAUGUGCUUUCCCUUUUCAUCAUUGACUUUGCUCUAUAUUAGUCCAUAACUAGUAGGUAGUUAAGUUAAUUAUUCUUAAUAUAAAAUAUAAAACAAAAGGAAAAUAGGUUAAGAACACUAUUAAUCAGUUGAUUAAUACACUUACUUGUUUCCUAAAACACUGUGUAAUUGUAUUAUAAUUUCCUCUUCUUCCAAUGAGAACUUCCCCCUCUUGAUAUCAGGUCUCAAGUAGUUCGUCCAUCGAAGCCGGCAACUUUUUCCACACCUCUUUAACCCUACAAUAAUGAAACAUGGAUUAUGCAAAGAGAUCGAGUGCUAAAUCAUAUAACAUAAAAAAAAAAAACCUAACUCGAGCUUUUGGUUCGAGAUUUAAGAUUAAACUAUCAUAUAAGAGUAUAACGGGUUUUGAAUUAAAACAUUCACGAGACGUAAUCUUGAAAGUUUUGAAAUACCUGCAUUUUGGGAAGGGUACGCCAUCUCCCAUGCCCAUGUUUUCGAAAUAAUCAAUCAAUUUUGAUCCUCCUCCGCAGUCAUGGACCUUUUUUCAGUCCAUUUUUGUCACAACAAGGAGGUUUCCCCAUUUCCAAAAGUAUUCUCUUUAAGACAACAAAUAACCCUAAAAUUUGCCUUCUUGGAUAAAGAAGAAGCUGAGUUGAAGUAUAAACUUUGGAAACACAAGUCAUGUAAUGCACGAAGAAACAUAUGUAUAUAUAGAUAGAGGAAAUCAAAGAAGCAAGCAAAGGAAAAAAGUUUGGACAAGUCAAGGGAUUUGGUGCCGGCCAAUUGAAACGUGUCUUCUCAUGAAGAAAAAAAACACGGCACACAAAAACAUUAAAAACAGUCAUCUUCUAAUUCCUUAGUUUUGUACAGUGGAAGAACAAGCUUUAACUUAACAAAUAUUUACUAAAUUGAUCACAAAUCAUAUGAUUUAUCGAUAAAAUAUUAAAAUUAUAAUUCAAAUAAUUAAAAAAAUCAUAAAUUUUAGGAAUAAAAAAUAAUUAAAGGAUGUUUUGGAAAUUUUAGUUUGGACAUGACAAGUACCCAUUGGUUAGAAAUAUAAAUGAUUUAACAUAAAUUCAAGAUUUACAUGAUUAAUGUAAUAAAUUGUGAACGGUGGAUUUGUCUCUUCUUAAUUUUGGUCAAGACCUCUAUUUUUUUUUUUUAAUCAAAUCCUAAAGCAGGUUGACACAUGUUCAAAAAAAAAUAAAUAAAUUUUCCCUCCAAUUUGAUUAUAUUUUUUUAACCUUUUUAGUCAAACUAUUAUAGCUGUCUCCAACAUUUUCUUGCCACGAGAUAGAAUGAUGGAUGGACAGAGACCACUCAUCACUCAUCGCAUGGCUCUAAAGCUCAUUCUCACAAGCCGGCUAGCUCAUCUUUCUUUUCUUUCUUUAUAUUUGCUUUUCAAAAUUACUGUUUCUGCAUAUUUCUCCUUUCUAAGCAAUAGAUAUUGUUUUCAAAUUGGUAUUUCAAUGCGAUAUAAAUUAUUAUAUUUUUGGUUGAAUGUAAUUUUCUUACAACGUAAAUUUUAUUAUUCAAAUGAAAUUAGGGCAUUAAAAUGAUCAAAUUGAUCAUGAUUACGGUAACACUUUAAACAUAAUUUGCUUCCUCGUGAGAUUUAAGAAAGAUUAAAUAAUGAUAUAAAUUCAAACAUUAAACCUCAAUUUACGCUAAAAAAAAAGAUAAUUAUUUAAGUUUGAGCUGUUUCGGAAAGUUUAAGGAUAACUAUACCAUGCCCUAUCUCUCUCAAAGAAGGGGGUUACAUGCAAAAGUUUCCUCUCCCAAGUGUUUGGCUAGUAGGUAAAAAGGAAGCUGCUUACUUUUUGAUGGUGCAUGUAACCUAACUUCAAAAAAGAGCAUCUCCUUGUUCUGUGUAUUGCUUCAUCAAGAUGUAUAUUAAUUACUUCCCAUGUUCAUUAUUACAUUAGCAGAUACAAAGAAAUUAUAUCACUAUUCUCUUUUUUUUUUUCCUUUUAUCAAUAAGAUUUUCAAGAAAAAAAAAAGGCUUUAUCAAAUUAAUAAGAUUAUGAACCUAUUCGUUGAAUUGUAAUCUUAAUGCGAUAAAAAUUCAUUCUCAUGGCAUCAGUCAUUACUUUGAUAUAUUGAAAAUGAAUUUCCACCGCAUUGAAAUCAUUACUUUUCGAACUACUUAUCAAACUAAUCAACUGUAUAAUCCUAACUAAUCAGGUCAAAUUCCCAUGAAUGAGAGAUUCAAAGUUUUUUUUUUUUUUUUGUUGUUGUUCUGGCAGAGAAUCAAAGAUUUUAUGAAUAGUUCUACUUCGCCAUCAUGAUUUGAAAGGAGAAUAAAUGAGUUAGGGAAAUAAAAGAUUGAAUUCAAAGUGAAAUUAGUUUGAAUAUUCACACUAUAUUAUUUCAUGAACAAUGGAUUAAACACAGUAUUCAUGGAAAAGCUCUUCUUAAUUCACUGUUUAUUUUGAUGGGAUUGAUUGACUAGAAUUUGGAUUUUUCAUUCAAAGUGACCAAGUCUCAAAUCCCAUUCACAGUUUUGAUUGGCACAGACAUUUAAUUCAAGGAAAAAGAAAAUCAGCUUGAAUUGACUGAUUAAUAACAUGAACAGAUCAAAAUUUUCAGUUAUUUGACCAUCCUUUCAUGGUAUUGCGUCUCUCUUUGCCUGCUUCUACUUUAUGUAACAACAUUUGAAACAAAGUGCAUGAACUCUCACCAGAAAGAAAAAUUUUAGUACUACUUUCCAACCAACCAAAGCUUUUUGUUGGAGACAAAUGUUAUUUUGAGAAACAUGAAUCUUCCUUUGAGAUAUUAUGAUUUAAUAUUAAAUUUUUCAUCAUAUUUUCGAUUUCGUCGAUUUUAGAGAAAACAUAAGCGGGAAAUUUAUGAACAAUUUCAUUAUUUUUGUCUCAAAAUAAAAAAAAAAUUAAAGUUUAACGACACAAUUCAACAUUCACCCAAUCUUUAUAAAUAUAUAUAUGUAUAUAUUUGUCCCUUAGUAUAUUGGUUUUAUAUAAUAUACUAUAUAACACCAUAUUUUUGCAAGAAAUUCAACAGCAGAAAUGUGAACUGCUGCUGUCUGUUACAUACUAUGAUAUGCCCACAGAAACUACCCAUGAUGUCCAUGUUAUGUGGAUUGAAAUUGUUUCCUAUUUUGUUAGGUCCCCACCACUUUUUAUCUUGGAAAUUAAUGAGCUGUGUAGAAAUUUUCAAUUGUUUGGAGUUUUUAUUGUCAAUAAAAGUUUGGGGCAAAGUUUUGAAAUUAUGAUUUUGGGAAUUUAAAGUUAGUUUGGGUCAUGGUUUCGUGGAAAGAUAGCCACCAUAAUUUAUGUUGCCUUCAUAUGAUAGCCACCAUAAUUCAUGUUGCCUUCAUAUGACUCUUGCCUUUGCCCCUCUUGUUCAAACAGUGAACAUGAUACACAUUCAGAACACUACAUUUCUUUUAAUUUUUUACAAACCAAGGAAGGUGUCAUCUAAAAACAAGAGAAUGAGUUACAAAUAUUAAAAUUUAAAUCUCAAACUUGCUAAUUAUCAUCUUUUAAAAGUAAUUAUAUAAAUUAAUUGAACUAAAUAUCGUAUUUAGAACAUCUCCCGUUUUUCUAAAUUAUUAGUUUGAAGUUUUGCAAGUUUUACAACUAAUAAUGAACAAAGAAGUGAAAGACUGGUGCCCAAACAUCAGAAAAUUCCUAAGCAACAUGUUGAAAUUUUAAAUUCACAAUCUAAUUAUGUGCUUAUUCACACACAAGUCAUUUGUCAUAUAUAAUCAAAAGAUUACUCAUAUUUGCGCUUAAACAUUUGAUUCAAUAAUAAAUUCAUAUAUUUUGUCAUUCAAAAAAUGAAUUUAAAUCCUUUAUCUUCAUAUCAAAAUAGAAAGAAACUACACAUGUUUAAUUAGUUUCAACUUGUAUGAAUGUCUUUUCUAUUUAUUUUUAAAGAAAAAAAUCUUGUAAUAUAGGUCCAAUCAACCAUAUUAUCACUAGAUACUUCCUGUUCUGACUUCCUAACCAACAUUCACGCAUAACAGCUAGAUUUCAUUUACGAUUUAGUGGAAACCAACGGAUUGGGGACUGAUCAUAAGAAGCUGGCUAGGAAGAAGGGAAUAUAUAGUAACUUUUGAGCAUUGAAUUAUUGUGAAUUUAGCGUGCCCUUUAAGGUUCAAACCAUGGGUUUUCCAAGUCAACAAUGAAGUGAUGGAAGUGAAAUUAAGAAAUGACAAUGAGAAAGGCAAUUCCCCAUCGUUUUUCUUCUUGAAAUUUGAAGGUUGGGUGGUGACAAAUGACAUAGAUGUGAACAUUUAGGAAAGCGAAAGGUAGGGCCUCGUUUCAAUUAUCAACUCAUCAUUAUGAUGCCAAUGAAAAUGGAUGGAUGCCUCUGAAUUUACGUAACAUUAUUGGUUCCUACCAAUUGAGGUCAGUCCUUACAUCAAAUCAAAUCAGCAGUGACAGGAAACUUUGCGAUUCCAUUGCAAUAUUGAAAAUGCCAAUAAAUUGGUCCAUCUGAUUUGUUAGAAGCUAAAUUUUCUUAAGUUAAGACUUCGAUUCAUUAUUUUUUUUAAGAUAAAUUUUCAUAAGUUUGAAGCAUUUUUCUUUAAUAAUUUUCUUAAAACGUUGCUUACUUGUAAAAAAAAUGCCAAUAAUAUUCACUUUAAUUUUUUUACUAUAUAUUUUUAAAAUAAAUAAAUUUAUAAUUUUCUCGAUUGUAGAUCACUUUUUGAUGUUUCUCAUCAAAACUUGAUUUUUUGUUAAAUUAGAGAUAAAUAAUUUCCGGUGAAAUACAUAAAUUAAAUAUUAGAAUUUCAAAUUUUCGAUAUAAAUUUAAUAUUUGAAUAUAUUCUAAAGAGAAGGGAAAUAUAUAUAUAUAUAUGAAUAGAUAUUUAUAUAUAAAUUUGAAUUUUAAUGAAUUAACCUUUAUAUGUAUGAUAAAAAUGAAAAAUAAUAAAUAAAUUCGACCAUGUAUUAAUAAUAUAUUAUUACCGACGAAAAUUAUUCUGCCGGUAUUACUAUGUUCCCUAAAUCGUUCACUUUCCAAAAAAAAAACUAUACAUACCAAGGAGCAUAAAGCUAAAGGGAAGAAAAAUAAUAAAAACAUUAAAAGAAAAAAAUUUAGACAAAGCCAUGGCUUGAGCAAGUAUUUGGCUAAUGUUUGGGCUAAUCUUGACUUUGAUAAAUACCUAAUUAUUUUCACACCGACUUGGUAAUAAAUUUAGUAACGUGGAAAAUGUUGUAACAAAAACAUGAGGCAUUUUCGUUGGCUUUGUGUGGUCCAAAUUUAAUUUAAAGCAUUGGGCAAUUUUUUUUAAACAAACAUUUUAUAACAGAUAAGCCUAAGAUUAAAAGAAAAAAUAGCAAUGUCCCCCACAGCAUUAUUGUUCAAUAAAAAACGACAAUCCUUUGGUCAAACAUUAUUUAAUAUCAAGUAAGAUUUGCUGCCAUUAUAUGAUGGAGGUUUCAACAAACCCCAUUAAUUUUUUUUUUUUUUUAACAAAGAAGAAAACACCAUACCCUCUUUUGCUUUUUGCUUUGACAAUUCUCACCUUUUGGAGUAUUAUAAUUUCUUAUUAAUUUCUAACCUACAUUAUUCACUAAUCCAUAUAUAUAAUUAGAUUUGAAUGUUGAAGAUCGAAAAAAAGUCUUAAAAAGAUAAGGUUUGGAUUGACGGAUGUUAUUCGUUUUUCAGGUUUAAAAUUCAAAUCUUUUUUUUUUUUUGAAUUUCUUCGUAUAUGCCAAAAAGAAAAGAGUUUAAUAAAUAUUAAUUUGAAUUUAAGUUUUACAAUUUUAUUACAAGUAUAAUUACUCUAUCCACUUGUUUAAAUCUUAGAAAGUCCUUAUUUAGUAGAAAUCUUAGGCUUAAGAAUAUAGUUAUUAAUUAAACUCAUAUUUUCUAUAUAAUAAAUUAAAUCUUAACUAUGAGCAGCUAGGGUAAUUGUAUUAAUUAAAUAAUUAAUUAAUUAAUUAAAAGUUUUCAUUAUGAAUUUAAGUUUUUCUUCUAGGACUAGGAAGGGCCAAAUGAAUUUUUAAGUGUUGCAAAGUUUUCUAAUGAUCUCAUAGAUUUUCAAAAAUCUGGCUUUCAUGAUAAAAGAAAAUUGUUAACUAAUGCCACAUAUAUACACUACCUCAUUUGCUUGCUAAACCUUCUCACCCCAUUACUAAAUUGCCUUAAUUUCCACUCAAAGCAAUUUCUAGAACACUGAAAGUGAUGCUCAAGAGAAUGACUUUAACCCAAAAAAGUACUAUUAAUUGAAUUUUUUAAUUAUCAUAUUAAACCAAUUUUUAUUCAAAAUUACAUAUUACUUAUUAUAACCUAAUUAUUACUUUAAUCUUACAGCAUAAUGGCCCAAAGAAUUUCUAAGGUAUAAAUUAAGGUUUUGAUAUUUGCUUAGAACAUAAAAUUACUUACUCAUUAUGGUAAGGGAAUAAAUAAUCUAGGCUUAGAAUUUUUAGUUAGUAUAUGACAAUAUUAUACUUGUAAAGUCAUUAUUGUUGCUUUUAAUUUUUCUUUUAAUAAUGGGUAGCCUAUCUAAUUCUGUUAGUAUGAUUCGUUUUUUUUUUUUUUUGCAUACCUAAUUUCAGAUAAUAUUUUGUCCUAAUAAAUAGUUAUAUAUAAGGUCAGAAUAUUGGAAAAUUUUGAGAUGUUAGUACAAAUUCGUGGCAUAUUUAUAAUAAAAAAUUUAAUUUUCAUCAAUAUUCAAUGUUAUUUUUUAUUGGAUCACAAUUUCAACCCUUUGAAAACAACAUCUUGGAUCACAACUUCAAUCAUUUGAAAACAAUAUCCCUUCAUAGUUCAUAUCUUUCAAUAGUAAAGGACGAUCGAUUUUCAUUACCAAUAAUUUCUUUUGGUGGAUAAUAUGUAAAUAUAAUAUAAGUCUUUGUUGAGACCUAUGGUAUGCCCUCAUCUUAGAAUGGAAUAAUCGUCCCUCACCUAAACUUUUUCAACAAAAAAAAAAAAAAGGAAGACAAAGAAAUUUAAUUAUAAUAUAUUUUGAUUUCUUCUGUCUAAUAGACUAAUACUAUAAUAUAGAAUUAUAAAUAUAUAAGUAAUUAAUUCUUUCAAUUAUGAAUUUUUCAUGAAAUAACAUGAAGAGGAAGACUAACUAGCCAGGUUAAUUAGUUGGUAGAUAUCCUUAUAUUCCUAGAUAAACCCAAUUGCAUUAUUCAUGAAAAUGACCUUAAACACAAUUUAAUUUUCAACACUCAAUUAUACUUCCUAGUAACUUGUUACUUUCACUAAUAUUAGUUAAUUUCAUGAAACCAUAACCUAAUCAUACUGUCCUUAUAUGUUUGGUAGCUAGGGAAUUUUCAUAGGUUUUACUGAAAUACCUUGAGAUUUCAUAUGUUUACAACAUUAUAUUGUACACUUAUAAUACUUGAUAUGUUACACAAAGAAUUCUAAUUUUGGCUGAUGAAGAAGUAAAAAUAAUAGUCAUUGUAGUAAAAUUUUGUUCUAAAAUUUUAGUUGUUGGUUGCAUGAAAAUUUUCAGACAAAUCAAGAGUCUUGCAUCGGUGAAUUUUUUACCAAAAUAGUACACGAAUUCGAUAGACUAUCUAAAACAUAAUAAUAAUAAUAAUAAUAAUAAUAAUAAUAAUAAUAAUAAUAAUAUGUUUGUAUAUAUUAAUUAAUCAAAAGCAACUUAAUUUAAUUAUUUGAUUUUUUUUUUUUUAGAUUUUGCUCUCAUAUAUGCGUACAUGGUUGAUGGUUCAUAUAUAUUUUAGGGUUUAUAUCAUGCAAAUUACGUAUGCGAGAUAUGGACUAGGUAUUGUCCUUCCUAUAUUGUGGAUUUUAAUCCGUAUCAAUUAUUUUUUUUAAUUUCCAUUUCUUCUUUUAGAAAAAUUAUUUUACAUGAAAUAUGCUCCACGUCCAUGUAACGAUCCAUAAGAGAUUUAUUAAAAAAAUUUCUUAAUUUGAAGUAUAUUUUAGGAGGAACUGAUCAUCAAGCACAACUCAAGAAUCAAAUCCCAAGUUUUUUUUUUUUUUUUUAAUUUGAAGAAUAUUUUAGAAGGAAAUUUCUCAGUGAGAAGACACCUGACUUUGAAGCAGCGGCAAUUUCAUGAACUUUCUGAGAAAAAAAAAAAAAACAAUGCUUUGAUGUGGCUGUUUGGUGAGCAUUGCAUCAGAUUUUUGUAUGUUUUAAAAGCAUGGGAUUGGAAAUUGAAGAAAUUAUAUAUAGAAAUCAGAUAAUAUAUUUCUGCAGAUGUGCAUGGAUGAUGAGCAGAAAGCUUGUUUCUGCUGAAGAAAUUGUUUGCAGGUCAAACUAGAACUGAAGAGUUUGUUAACCAAAUCAAAUAUGCAUGUGCAAAACUGAAGAAUUCACCUACUUUUACUGGCACUAUUCGGAAAACAGAGAAUCAGAUAUAUAUUAGCUAUGAUGACGAGUAAAAGAUUCAAUGUUUCAAUCAAUAUAUAAAUUUAUAUAUAUGAAUAGAUCUGUCCUUGAAUUGGGUUAUUUAUUUGUUUCGCGAGUUUAAUUUGAGUCGUUUAUUAGCUUUAGAAAAAGAGUCUAAUUUUUGUUUUAAUAAUAAAAUUUAUUUUUUAUUUAACUUUAAAACAUAUUUUAAAAUAAUAAUAUUUUCAUAUCUUUAAAUAUUUAAUAUAUAUUUUUAAAAAUCAAAUCUCUUGAGUACAAUAAAUCGAACUUGAUUAAAUUUUAUACAAAACUUUUGUAUAGUUUGAUUGAAUUUGAUCCAUUCGAAUCGAUCCGACUCAUUCACUAUUUGACUUAUUUACACAAAUUAUGCACAUUAAUUUUGUAUAAUAUCCAAAGGCAAAAUAUGUCAAAAUAAUGUUAUUUAUAGAGAGUUUAAUAUCAUGAUCACAUCACAAUAAACAUUUCAGAUGAUAAGAUUCAAAAUUUAUAUAUGUUUAGAAGCUAUCACAAAGGUAAGAGUCAAUGAGAUUUGCAAUGGGACCAAAUAAGUUAGUAGCUGACUAAAUAUUUAAUUAAUCCAAUAAUCUGUCUUAUCUUGCCAGGCUGCCAAUCAAUUUUUUAUGCCAAAAUUCUUCUCUUUUUGAUAAUUGAUGAAUUAAAUCAGCACUAAUUAAUAAGAUUUUUUUUUUUUUCAAAUGAUUUUGCAUUACAUAUUAAAAUAAGAUUCUUGUCUUGCCAUUGGAAACACCAUACUCUUUCUUAACACAAAUUAUAUACCUUAAAAGCAAUCUAAUUGAGUAAAUUGUCCUAAAUCUAGGGCUUGCUUACCCUUUAUUAUGUAAGUUGACAUGUUGAAUUAAAUUAAUGAAUUCAUUUUUAUAAACAGAUUGUGAAAUUUUUAAUAUAGUAAUUCUAUUUGUGGAGUCUAAUACUCUACUAACUAUGACUGAAAUAAUAUUUCUAAAUUAAUUAAGUUCCAAAUCCAAUAAUUAUUGCCCCAAUUAUUGUUAAUUAAUUUGUGAUUAAAAAAUAUUAAGAAAAUGAGAUCCAGCCUUAUGUAAGUGGUUUUAGAUCAAGUAAAGGUCACGAAUCUUGAUAUUUCAUUUUACACAGAGCCUUAACUACUUAAUAAAAAAAGAGGUGGGAUUGUUCUGUGUGUAUCGAAAAUCAAGUAGAGAAGGAAGAAAAAGCAGAGAGAAAAAGGAGAAAGGAGAGUUGCAUUGAACGGAAAGUCGAUCCGUGAUCCGAUUGAGUUGGAACAUUGUCAGGAGGUUUAUGAUUUAAAGUUUUACAUUCUGAACGGUGAAGAUAGGGUUUGAAGCUCUCUAGAAACAAAUUCAAGGUAUAUUUGUUGAGUCACUUAUUUGAUGAGAUUUCAUCAAUUGUUUUCUCUAGUUGUUGAUUAGCUCUAAUUUUAGCUAGAGAAAAACUUUGUAUACCUAUUAUUUGAUAGUGAAGAUUUUUCUGGUAGUCCGUGAUUUUUUUCCUCUACAUUGAAAAAUUUUUCACGUAAAUCUUGGUGUGUUUUAUUUUUUUUACGUUUUUAUUAUUAAUUGUUAUCUAUUACUUCUGUAUUAUUGUGAUUAUUGCUUCAGACGUAACAAAAAGAAUAUAUUGAUCGGUACCUCACGUACACCAAAUGUUAAGAAAAUUUUUUGUAAUAAGAUCAAAAGUGUCUCUUAGCUUUGUUUAAACCUAAUCUCCUAUUCGGAUGAUUUUAAAAGCGCGCUUACUCUCUCACGUUCGAUCUAACACAUUAAAAAUUUUACUUCCAAAGUCAUGUACUUAUCUUUUAUCUAAUAUUAUUUUGUUUUUCUUUUCUCAAUUUGCAUAAACUACAUAGCAAAUCCUUGCAGUCUCUCUUGUAAAAUUUCAAACAAUUUGACUUCCAAUAAUCACUCUUGCAGUCCCACUAAUUCCUCAACACCAUUGACCUAUAUAAUAAAGAUUCAACUUUUUAACCCAUCUCCUUUAAGACUAAGCAAGCUUAAGAUUGGAAUAAUUGAGACAUUUGGGAGAUUAUAAUUCACAAAAUCAACCUUACCAAUUGGCCUUAUCUAAAAAUUUAGUCUUUUUUUUUUUUUUGAAACCACAACCUUUGCCUUCUGUCUCCAGUUUUGGCACAUAUGGACACAUUAAUUCAAAGAAUUGGAAAGAAUCUAUUACAAUUAAAUUAUUUGUAUUAUCUUCUUUAGGUAAAGAUUUGACCAAUGCAUGAAGCUUGCUUUCUUGUUUGCAUAUCAUUCCCAUUUGUGAACAAGUCAUAUCCAUAUACGUCAUUGACUUGCUGAUGCAUAUAGGCCAAUUAAUUAUUCAAGGAAAAAAAAUUAAUUUAAUUUUUUCAACUGUUUAUAGUCUUUAAUUAUAUUAUUAAAUUUCAAAUUGUGUUAGGAGGCAAGUUUAACUCAAGCCAGACUUUGGAUAUGAAUUUCAAGGUCCGUGCUCUAUUUGACCUACAAAUAUUGUUAUGUUAAUAAAUAAUAUAUUUUUAUUUAAUUAUAUUAAAAUAUUAAUGUAAAAAUAAUUUAUAAUAUUUUACUAUUAAACAUAAAUCAAGUUGGACUCGAUUUCGGGUCUAUAUUGUCAAGGUGUCUACCAAACCCGAUCCGAUAUAUAAACAUUUCCGUCUAACUCUAACAAAGCUUUGAAGCUAAAUCGGACCAUUUUCUACAGAGAGAAAUGGGUUUGUUAUAUAAAAUUUACAGGCCUACUCUUGGCUCAUGCUGAAGACAACUAGAAAUUGAAAGUGACAAGGUUAAAAAAGUAAUUACAACAAGAACGAAGCCCCACACGUCAUUUCCUCUUUUGUGAUUUCAAUUGAAACCGACAUCAACGGUACAAUUAAUUUUGAUAAAAUUAAAAAUACUAAUAAAAAAAUUUAAUUAUUGAAAUGAUAAAAGUGAAUAUUGUAGUAUUGAUUUUAAAAGUAAUAAUUAGAUAUAUAUUUAGAUGUAAAUAUAAUAGUAAUGAUAAAGAAGAGUGUUAUGAGAAAAUAAAAUUAUUAUUAAGAAUAUUAGAUUAAAGUUUAUACAUAAUAAAUUUGAUAGUACACAUUUGAUAUUUUUGAAAUUAAUAAAAUUAAUUUUAUAUCAAAUAAUAUUUUUAUUAUUAAAUAUUUGAAAAUUAUUUUUAUUUAAAUGUUAAUGUUAUUUAACAUAUAAAAUUUUAUUUAAUAUAUAAUGAAAUAUUAUUUUAAAUUAAAAUAAUAUAUUAAGAAAGAGAUGUUAGGUUUUUAGUAAAUAAAAACUCAUUUAAGGGUAAAACGGAGAUAAAAUUUUUUUAAUGAAAUAAAAAGUCUAAUGCAUAUAUCAGUGGUCCACUGGACCCCUUUUGUCCACUCCACCAGCAUGGCCAAAAAUUCAAUUGCAGUACAGAUUAUAUUAUCCAAACAUUAUAUAAAAUUUUGAAAUUUAUGUAUUUAUAUUAUAAUAUAAAAUAUAUUUUUUAAUUUUAUUAAAUUUAUAUAUAAUUAUUAUUAACAUUUUAAAUUAUAUUAUUUUUAUAUAUUAUUUUUGUAUGUUAUUUAUAUAAGGUAUUUUAAAUUAUGAGUUUUAUCUAAUUGCAAUUCGUCGGCCCAGUAGAAUCCAAACAGGCCCCCAUGUUCCCUGGGACUACUCCUUUACUCUCUCAAACCGAACCAACCAAUCACUUAUCCCAGAUUUCAUCCUUCGUGUGACGUGUCACUCUCCGUUCUGUCUUCCUUUCAUCAAAUCCUAAACCAUGCCGCAGCCAAUUAACGACCGUUGGUUAUAUCGCCGCCCCCUGCUCUUUCCUUUUUUUUGUCCGUUGGCCGAACAUCUUUGAAAUUGAAGAACGUCUAAAAAUGACGAAAAUAGAAACAAAAAACGACGACGGCAGCCAUAGUUUAACAAAAACGAAAGCCGAAGCUUCGUUUCUCUUUCUCUCUUUUUUUUUUUAAUAUUCAUUAUUUAUUGCCUUUAAUUCACAUCUGUUCACUUUCCAAGCGAUCUGCGUUUCGAAUUUUAUAACUAAAAAAAUCAAAGAAAAAAAGAAGAAGCAUUGUUGAUUUUGGUUUGAAUCUUGAGCUUUGAUUCCUACGGUUAUCUUCCUCCACAGUACGCUACAGGUUCUUUGUUCUUCAGGUAAAGCAUCAUCGUGUUUUUUUAAUUUAUUUAUUUUUACUUGAAUUAAAACCAAAAUUUCCUGCUUUGAAUCUGUUUGGUUGAUUUAAAACGAAAAGUUAAGGGAAAAGAAAGAAGAGGAAGCGUGGAUUUGAAAUUUUCACGCUUUUAUUUUGUGAUUUUUGUGUUUUUAUUAUUGAAGAGAGAAAAAGUGAGAGAGAAAGAGAGAAAGUGCGUAUUUGAGGAUUUUGAGUUUAUUUGAUGUUUUCUUAUUCGUUUAAUGAUAAAGGAGAGAAAAUCGAAGGAAAAACUAAGAGAAAAUCAAGAACUAUGAGAUAUUUGAGCUUAUUUUUGCGUUUUUUUAAUUGUCUGCUGAUGACAUAGGAGAGAAAAGCGAGCGAAAAACGAAGUAAACGCGUGCUUUGGAAGAUAUUGAGCUCAAUUUUGCUUUUUUUUUAGCUUAUUUGAGCUGAUUCAUUAUAUGGUGGACAGAAAACUGAGAAAAAAAGGAAGAGGAAUCGUGCAUUUGAUGAUUUAUGCUUAAUUUGUGUUUCAUUUUUAGUUUUUCUUUGUAGGUUUUGUGACAAAGAAGAAUGGCAUUGAAUAACAAAUUGUUAUUUUUCCCUGGGAAGGCCUUGGUUGAAUUGUCCUUGGGAUCACAACUCAUGGCUAGAGAUAUUCGUAGUUUUCUUUCUAGAAGGUUUUAAGUGCUGUUUUUUGCUGUUUAUUAAUGCAUAUAAUUUAAUUUAUAGAUAUAACUGACUUUUAGAAUAUGUUCCAUUAUUUGGAUCACUAUUCAGUACAUAGUGGAAUCUUCUCCCUGUUGAUAAAAAGUCCUAAAAUUGGUUGUUUAUGGUGUGGAAUGACACUGUCUUUGGUGCAUUGCAAUCAGAAUUGCAUGUUUAGAUAUCUUUUAUUUCAAGUUUUCUUGCAAUUUUUUCAAUUGUUAAUUGUAUAAUUCUAUAUAAACCGAAAGGAGAAGGAUUUGACGGAGGACUAGAAAUGCUCAUUGAGUGGCAUAAUUAUUUUUCGGUUAUUGAAUUCUUUUGCCCAACUUUUUGCUUAUCCUUUCGAAGGCUUAUGUUGCCUGCCUAAUUUUUUUGUUACACCUGCACAAUGUUGAUGUAUGCGCAUGAUUGCUUUGAACUUUUAAUGGUAGUCUGAGUUUGUUGAUCAUUUCUUAUAUUAUAACCUGCAGUUGGGAGGUUCUGAUGGGUGAUGCUAAGUUGAACCAUAUUUUGAAAGACUACUACAUCCCAAAUUAUAUACUUGUUCCUGGAUCAGAAGCAAAGAAACCACCAUGGGUAUCUUCGUGUCCAGUGUUAGUGUUUAUCAACUCCAAAAGCGGUGGACAGAUUGGUGGAGAUCUUCUUUUUACCUAUCGUUCUGUCCUUAACAAAAACCAGGUAUUAUCUGCUUGCUCUUAAAGGAUAAUGCAAUUGUGACUGAAUGUUCGUCUUCUCAAUCAAACUUGGUUGAUUGAUUUUCAGGUUUUUGAUUUGGGAGAGACGAAACCUGAUAAGGUGCUACACCAAAUUUAUGCCACACUGGGAAUGCUUAAGCAGCGUGGGGAUGUUUUGGCUUCAGAUAUUCUGAGUAGCUUGAGAAUAAUCGUGAGUUGACAUGUUAAGUAGCUGGUUAUGUUUAUUAUCAGGUUGUUUGUCUUCUUUAAUAACAUACAUGUACAUCACAUAUAUGUGUCUAUGUUGUGCAAGACUGCAGUUGAUAUCAAACCUAAAACUUUAUCUCUAAUAUAUGCUUAGACUGUUAGGUUGCAGGUGGCGAUGGAACAGCCGGCUGGCUUCUUGGUGUAAUAUCCGAUCUUAAACUCCCUCAUCCACCUCCAGUUGCUACAGUGCCUCUGGGAACUGGAAACAAUCUGCCUUUUUCUUUUGGCUGGGUAGGAUGAUGCUUACUCAGUUACUUGUCUAAUCUAGCUUAUUUUAUUAAUUGUUAGUUCAAAAGUUUUGCAGGUUAAUUUUCUUUUCUUUAUCUUUGUUCCCUUUCAUUCUAACAGUGUCUUUUGACUUGUAAAUCAUGAACUUGUCUAGUUGGUGAAUAAUUUCUUUUUUAUUACUAAGAACGAUGGUUUCCUUUUUGUCCCUGUUUUGUUUGUCAGUCUCUUAUUAAUUGGUAUUGGCAUAAAAAGAAACAGAAUUAACAAGUGUAAUCUUUCCAAGCAGGAAAUUGACACCUAUGCUGCAAACUGUGUUCACUUUAUUGUUGUCAGUGAUGCCAAACUGUCUUUUCAAUCUCCUUGAAUGAAUGGAUGACAAUAAGUAGUUGCUUUAGGUUUUAGCGAUCAGUUACUAGCAUGCACUCUUCUGGAAAUGGUUGUUCUAAUUGACAUGUAUGUACUGGAAGACUUGAUUCAACUCAGUCAGAAUUUUAUACCUUGUGUUUGGUUAAUUUGCAGGGAAAGAAAAAUCCUGGUACAGACCGCCAAUCUGUAUUGUCAUUUUUGGAGCAAGUAAAGACUGCAAAGGAAAUGAAAAUCGACAGGUAACAAACUCCUUAGCUGUUAUCUUUCUGGCUAACUGCUUCUACAUGUUUUUUGCUUCCUGCUAAGCAGGCCGUAGUGCUUUAUCUUAAGGCUGAGGAAGGGGUAAAAUAAGAAAGUUGUCUGAACGUCCUACUAGAUGCAUGAGAUAGUCUUUGAUGACCCUGGCAUGCAUCUAGUUCAUAGAAACUUGAUUAAGGAGUUCAGUAUGGAGAUUAUUGUUGUGUUGUUACUCUUGUUAUGAGCUUUAUUCUUGUUUUUGUGCAAUUUUCCUAAACUAUUUUUAGUUGACCACUCAAAUUUUUUGCUACCAAAUAAUCUUCCUGCCCCUUUUUUGACUUUUUUCAUCGUCCUCCAAAGCCUUUAACGUCAUAUGACGUGGCUUUGCAAAUAUGACUGUGCAAUACUAUGAGCUUAAUAUGAAGAAAAUUGGUAUCUGCCAGAACUUUUCGAAAUUUUUAAUGAACAUGAAAAGAAUUUAUUUUUGGUUGAACCUAGAUUAAAUAGUGAUGUUAUACUAGCAAUUCUUCCUUUACUUCUAUUUUGAUAUGGUUAUGCUUUACCGUGUCAUAAUGGGAAAAGAUAUUCAGUUGUUUAUGUGUUGGAAACUUCAAUUUUCCUUUCGAUUAUUAAUGCUACAGUUCAUUCAAUGAAAUUUCAGCUGGCACAUUAUCAUGAGAAUGAAGACCCCUGAGGAAGGUUCUUGUGAUCCUAUUGGGCCUCUUGAACUACCCCAUUCUUUGCAUAAGUUUCAUCGCAUCUCUCAAACAGACAAACUAAGCAUGGUAUGUUUCUGUUUUCUAUUUUUUGGCUCCCUUUUGGCAUACUCUUUUUUCUGUUUCUUCCAUUUUAUAUGUUUUGACUGCAGUGAUUGGUGUGUGUGUGUGUGUGUGUGUGUAUGUUUACGUAAAGGCAGUUGUAUGGCGGUCCUGCUUCAGUAUAUUUUGGUUUUGUUUUUCGUUAAACUAUUCUUGUCUUCUUUAACCUUUGGUGGAUGAUGAAAAUAUAAAAUGAGCCAAUCUCAAGGGUAUCUUCUAGUUACUUAAUAGCGGCAUCAACACGUUGAAUAGAUUUAUAUCUCAUCCUAUGCCCUGAUCCUCUAGUUGUGAGUUUGUAUUGUUUUAAUUAUUUUAAAUCUGUUGUUCCAAUAUUAAUCUCAGAGUUCUCGUUUUACAUAAUACUAAUAAGCCAUUAAAAAUCACUAUAUAUUUGAUUUACCAUAAGAUCUGUGAGCCUGGUAAUAAUUACAAGUAAAACAUGAAAGUUGCUGAUAUGGCGGUUCAAAUCAUCUUUUAAAUGCUUGGUUUCCCCUUUAGUGUUUACUUGCUUCACGUGAAUUUGGGUUGCUUUCUAUGCUUAUUGGCAAAAUUUUGUUGGAUGUUCUCACUUCUCAGGAGGGUUAUCACACAUAUCGUGGAGGAUUUUGGAACUACUUCAGCAUGGGUAAGAAAUAUAAUCACUUAUGUGAAUUUCAUAAUUUUCGACAUUUUUAGAAAAUGAAUGAUUUUCCCAUUUGCUAAAGACAUGUCGAUAUACAGAUAUGUACCUCUGUAUUACUCAUUUAAGCAUCUCAUGUUGUGGAAACUCUUAGUGCUUCUCAGGACUUGGCUUGGUCAGAGUAGUAGUCGGUGAUUACCCGUCUGUUAGUGUCUUCAACUUAAGCCCUUAUGAGUCCAACAUAACACUAUUCAAGUGAACCUGACAUAUAGUUCCAUCCAACAUAUCAUUUUGUCCCUGACAUGAUGGGCAUGAGCUGCUCGAACAGUCAAUUAUAUUGAGAUGGUCCCUAAUGCAAUAGGUCAUUUGAGGCAUUUUUUGGGAUUAAAGUGCUUUAAUGAGAGAGAGAGAAUAAUUGCAAAAUUAUGCUUAGUUCAUGGAAACAACUAUAGUUUUUCUAUCUUUUUAGAUAUCUUAUGCUGAUGUGGAAACUCUUAGUGUUUCUCAGGACUCGGCUUGGUCAGAGUAGUAGUCAGUGAUUACCCAUCUGUUAGUGUCUUCAACUUAAGCCCUUAUGAGUCCAACGUAGCAGUAUUCAAGUGAACCUGAUAUAUAGAUCCAUCCAACGUACCAUUUUGUCCCUGACAUGAUGGGCAUGAGCUGCUUGAACAGUCAAUUAUAUUGAGAUGGUCCCUAAUGCAAUAGGUCAUUUGAGGCAUUUUUUGGGGUUAAAGUGCUUUGAUGGGAGAGAGAAUAAUUGCAAAAUUAUGCUUAGUUCAUGGAAACAACUAUAGUUUUUCUAUCCUUUUAAAUAUCUUAUGCUGAUUUAGCCAUGGAAGUAAGCCUAACAGCUGUAUUGCAUUUGCAUAUGAUUGUCAGCAGUUUGUUAUCUGAUUGUCCAGUGAUCUUGGUGCAAUAACCUUUAUUCUGAUUACUAUAUUGAGGUUUUGAGGGCGUUGCAAUUUUCUAUACAAGACUUCUAAGUAUUAUAGUAUAAUUUAAUUUAUCCAAGCUUUAUACUCCAAUAAUUCGUUUGUACAAGGAUGAAGUCAGCCCAAAAUAAUUUCUACAUGUGAAUUUUGUUUGGCAGCUGGUUAUAGUACUAUCAAAUAAGUCUAAUUAGAGUGUUCUGUUCAGGAAUGGAUGCACAAAUAUCAUAUGCAUUUCACUCUGAGAGGAAAUUGCACCCAGAAAAAUUCAGAAAUCAGUUAAUUAAUCAGGUAAACAUUUGUUUUCUGUUUUGAUAAAGGUUGUUGAAAUGCGGCAUAAUCUUAAAAUGUUCAGAUAUUAGGUUGUCUUUUUAGCCAUAUCCAUGCUUAGUACUAUGCUCCUAGCUGAAAAAAUAAAUGCAAUGCUGAUUAUACAAAUUCCCCUCUCCCCCUCUCUCAUAUGUUUGUGUAUUGGACUGAAGAUCUCUUUAUAUAGAAUCUAUAUACUGACAAUGCAUCAAAUAUAAGCCCAUAUAUUUAUACAUUAUUUUAUGUAUUGAUGUAGGUGUAACUUGCCUACUAACAAUAUAGUGUAUAACAUGAUCUUUUUGUUUUUAACUGUCUUAAGUUUCCCUUCACUUGUAUGAUAAUCCUCAUGACAAUUCUGAAACUUAGACAACUACUUAUUUCUUUCUGAUGAAGCAGAGUACUUAUGUAAAGCUUGGAUGUACUCAAGGUUGGCUUUUCGCUUCUCUUUUCGUCCUUCAUCAACGUGAGUUUCUUACAGAUGUCUGGCAAUAUAAAUUCCUGUCCUGUUUAGAAGAACAUGUGUGAUGGCUUGAUAUUUAAAACGUCUCGGCUCUCUAAUUAUUUUAAUUUUGUCAGUAAUAAAAUUCAUAGGAGCGACUGUUGGGCAAAGGACUGAAGAUACAGAUACCAAUUUGUUCUUCAGUAUCAUGCAAGUGUUUCACAUGUCUUUCUGUUUUAUCAGUCAUGUUACUCAGCUAACUACUUAUCUAGUAUACAAGGUCCUGCUAGAUUUGUAAUGCUGCAAGGUUGAAUUACUGAUCUUGUAUUUAAAAGUACGGCACUCUACUCCAUGAAAUUUGUCUAUAUGUUAGAUACUUGUGAUUUUCUAAGAGCUUUAUUUCAUAUGUUUAAAACAAUGUCUCAUUGCUGAACGACACCAUGCAUGCUUCGUUUUAGUGCAUCAAUUACCUGAUUACUGAGCAUUUAACUUUUAUGUCUAUAUCCUUCCAAAUGGAUUAUUCUAUUUUGUUUUAUUUCUUGGGUAAGCUUUCAAGUCAGAGUUGCCAGUGUUUAUGACAAUGUCUUAAUGUCAAUACAGGAGCAUAGCUCAGCUAACAACAGUUAAGAUUAUGAAGAAACAAGGCCAAUGGGAGGACCUCAACAUACCUCGCAGGUGAAAAUCAUGUAUAACCUGUAUGCAUUCUUAUGAUUAUAAUCAACACUUCAAUUGCUCAUUUAGUCCUAAUUCUCAUAACACCAGUUUCUUUCUUAUACAGCAUUGGCUCUAUCGUCUGCCUAAAUUUGCCUAGUUUCUCUGGUGGAUUCAAUCCUUGGGGAAAACCAUAUAGGAAGAAAUUUCAUGAUGUUUGUUCCGAUCUCUCUCUUCCUUUAUAAUCAUAUAAUCAUAGCUGAAAUUGUAGUAAUUAGAUUUGGACUGACAUCUCACCCAAAGGUUUUGAUUGCCAAUUUUGGUUUACAGAGGGGCUUGACUCCUCCUUUUGUAGAUGAUGGCCUGAUUGAGAUAGUCGGUUUUAGAAAUGUCCUGCAUGGGCUAGUUUUGCUUGCGCCAAAUGGACACGGGACUCGUUUAGCACAGGUACGAGGUUCAUGACUCUACAACAAAAACUGUUAACCAUUUUAGCUGUCUCCUCUCUUAUUCUGGCAUUAUUUUCCAAUCUAAUCUUCGUCUCCAUAUAGGCAAAUGCAGUCCGAUUUGAGUUUAAAAAGGGUGCAGCCGAUCACACAUUUAUGAGGAUCGAUGGAGAACCAUGGAAACAACCCCUUCCAGUAGAUGAUGACACAGUGGUAGUGGAAAUAUCUCACUUUGGUCAAGUAAGCAUGCUUGCUACCCCAUUUUGCCGCUCCCAGAGUGUGUACAAUCCUUCUUCACCUAUCAGUCACGAUGAGGAUAACGAUAGUGCUGACGAAGGAGAAUCUCUGGACGAUGAUUGGGAAGAAAAAAGAAAGUUCGGAGCAGCUGACACGUUCAAAUUUCCUGAUGAAUUUGACAUAACUCAACUCAGCUAAGCACUUGAGCUCCUGCAAUCUGAUCUAUGCCCCUUCUUUACCCAAUUCUUCCCGGCUUUUACCUGCCCUAGUGCUGUGGCUGUGGUUCUUUCAUAUCAUAUCACCUUAACAUGGCCAUGCAAUGGAUAGUAUGCCACUUUGAGUGUACAGUUUAGCAAAUGGAUUGAUUCUUUUUUUCUUUUUCUUUCAGAUCAUCAGAAUCAUUGAUGUCGAUUUUAUUGAUUCUUCUUCACAUUUGCCUUUAGAUAAGAGUAAUUGCUAAUAGUGCUGAAGUGAAGAAUUUGUAAUUUGUAACAAAAUUAUGAUCUAAUUCUUGCUUAAUUUCAACCAAGGUUUUCAAAUUGAUGCUUAGAUUGUUGCUUGUCCCUAAUUAUUCUAAUCAUUUUGUCUAGUUGUGGUAAUUUAUUGUUUAGGAAAGGAUUUGAUAUGAAUUUCAACAUAAAAGUUAUUAGUACAAUAUUAUGAAGGAAAAAUAGAAAACAAUCAAUACAUAUAUAUCAAUGAACAAGAAUUUGAACCUCCCAAACAGAACAAGCCCAUCUCAUUUUCCCCUUUCCCAAUCGCAUUAUUUUUAGAUUUUAUCUGCAAAAUAUUUAAAAAAAAAAAAAAGAAUCAUGAUUGACAUCAAAUCAAUGAAGUAAUUUAUUCACUUAUAACUUCGAUGUGAAGGGCUCAUGGGUCAUCCCAUACACAGAAGAAAUAGAUAACAAUGCCAAAAUCUUAUCUUGGGGAUUUUGUCCAUAGCAAUUCCUUCCUCCAACCAUCAUCAUCUCUACUUUAUCCAUUUCUUUACUAUUAUUGUCUCCAUCGUGGGAUGUACAGUAAAAUCAUUAAUCUUAUUAUAAUACCACUAGCCUAUUGUACUGCUUGAAACCAUUGGCUAUUUCCUUUUGUUUAGGCAAUACCAUCUCUGGUUUUUUCCAACACUUUCCUCUAUAUAAGAAACUCUUACCCACCCUCCAAUUUGCUUCAGCAAAGCAAAACACAGCCAGAAAACCAGUCUUUGAAUUUUCGAAAAAAAAAAAAAACCCAUUUCUGCUUUCAUUUCAAUCACCUCCCAAAAGCAUAGAAAAAAGAAAAACAUGAGUUCUUCAACAAGAGCUUGGAUAGCGCUGCUAGCAUCGGAGCUGUUGAGGCAUUGAAAGAUCAAGGAAUUUGUAGAUG